RNAcentral lists this long non-coding RNA (81092 nucleotides) under Hordeum vulgare. RNAcentral describes it as "long non-coding RNA (HVUL_LNC012421)". The record is from RNAcentral. Lineage: Eukaryota; Viridiplantae; Streptophyta; Magnoliopsida; Poales; Poaceae.
UACUCCUCCGGUGUUAAUGAGUUGCAUGAUCUCAUGGGCAUAGGAACACAUACUUGACAUGCAGGAAACAAUAGCAAUAAACUGACAUGACCAUAUGCUAUGUUCAUAGUUUGGGUCUAGUCCAUCACAUCAUUCUCCUAAUGAUGUUAUCCCAUUAUCAAAUGACAACUCAUGUUUAUGGCCAGGAAACCUUGACCAUCUUUGAUCAAUGAGCUAGUCCAUUAGAGGCCUAAUAGGGACACAAUGUUAUCUAUGUGCCCACACAUGUAUUUGAGUUUCGAAUCAAUACAAUUCUAGCAUGGAUAAUAUAAAAUUAUCAUGAACAAGGAAAUAUAAUAAUAACCACUUUAUUAUAGCCUCUAGGGCAUAGUUCCUAUAGUCUCCCACUUGCACUAGAGUCAAUAAUCUAGCUCACAUCACUAUGUGAUUUACAUUGUAAUGUAUCUAACACCCAUUCAGUUCCGGUUUGGAUCAUGUUUUGCUCGUGGAAGAGGCUUAGUAAAUGGGCCUACAACAUUUAGAUCUGUCUGCACUUUGCAAAUUUUUGUGUCCUCCUCCUUGAUGUAACCGCGAAUGGAAUUGAAGCAUCACUUUAUGUGUCUGGUCCUCUUGUGAAACCUUGGUUCCUUUGCCAGAGCAAUGGCACAAGUGUUGUCAUAGAACAGAGUCAUUGAGUCUAGUGCACUGGGCACAACUCCAAGAUCUGUCAUGAACUCCUUCAUCCACACACCUUCUUUAGCCGCAUCCGAGGCAGCUAUGUACUCUACUUCGCAUGUAUAAUCAGCUACCAUGCUUUGCUUGGAAUAGCACCAACUUACCACUCCCUCGUUGAGAAUAUAUGUGUAUCCGGUUUGAGACUUAGAGUCAUCGGGAUGAGUGUCAAAGUGCGCAUCGACAUAACCCUUUACGACAAGCUCUUGAUCACCUCCAUGAACGAGAAACAUUUCCUUAUUCCUUUUUAGGUACUUAAGGAUAUUAUUGACCGUUGUCCAGUGUUCCAUUCCUGGAUCACUUUGAAACCUUUUGGCCAUACUUAUGGCAAGGCUGACAUCUGGUCUUGUGCACAACAUUGCAUACAUGAUAGAGCUUAUGGCAGAAGCAUAGGGGACGACACUCAUCUUUUCUCUAUCUCUUGCAGUCACUGGGCAUUGAGUCUUACUCAACUUCACACCUUGCAAUACAAGCAAGAACCGUUUCUUGGACUGAUCCAUUUUGAACUUCUUCAAAACAUUGUCAAGGUAUGUGCUCUGUGAAAGUUCUAUUAAGCGUCUCGAUCUAUCUCUAUAGAUCUUCAUGCCUAAUAUGAAAGCAACUUCUCCUAGGUCCUUCAUUGAAAACUCUUGUUCAAAUAUUCCUUUACACUUCCCAAAAAUUCUAUAUUGUUUCCAAUCAGCAAUAUGUCAUCCACAUAUAAUAUUAGAAACGGUAUAGAGCUCCCACUCACUUUCUUGUAAAGACAAGCUUCUCCAUAAACUUGUAUAAACUCAAACGCUUUGAUCUCCUCAUCAAAGCACUGAUUCCAACUUCGAGAUGCUUGCACCAGUCCAUAAAUGGAUCGUUGGAGCUUGCACACUUUGUCAACAUUCUCUGGAUCAAGAAAACAUUCUGGUUGUAUCAUAUACAACUCUUCCUUAAGGAAACCAUUAAGGAACACUGUUUUGACAUCCAUCUUCCAAAUUUCAUAACCAAAAAAUGAAGCUAUUUCUAACAUGAUUCUGACAGACUUAAGCAUCGUUACGGAUGAGAAAGUCUCAUCGUACUCAACUCCUUGAACUUGUGAAAACCCUUUUGCCACAAGUCGAGAUUUAUAGACGGUGAAAUUACCGUAUGCGUCUGUCUUCUUCUUAAAGAUCCAUUUAUUCUGAAUGGCCUUUCUCCCUUCAAGUAAUACUUCCAAAGUCCAUAAUUAGUUUGCAUACAUGGAUCAUGUCUCUGAUUUCAUGGCCUCUAACCAUUUUUUGGAAUCCGGGCCCACCAUCGCUUCUCCAUAGCUCGUUGGUUCAUCGUUGUCCAACAACAUGACCGUUAAGACAGGGUUGUCGUACAACUCAGGAGGAGUGUGUGCCCUUGUCGACCUAUGAGGUUCGAUAGCAAGUUCAUCCAAAUAUCCAUGAUCAUCAUCAUUAGCUUACUCUUCAAAUCAUGUAGGUUCCACAUAAACAUAUUUCCGCAUUGCGCACUCUCUGUUUAAAGUAAAGGUUCGACAACCUCAUCAAGUUCUAUCUUCCUCCCACUCAAUUCUUUCGAGAUAAACUCUUUCUCAAGAAAUGUUCCUUUUUGGUGACAAACACUUUGCCUUCGGAUUUGAUAUCAAAGGUAUACCCAACCGUCUCUUUUGGGUAUCCUAUGAAGAUGAAUUUCUCCGCUUUGGGUUCGAGCUUUUCUGGCUGAUGCUUUUUGACAUAAGCAUCGCAUCCCCAAACUUUAAGAAACGUCUACUUUGCUUUCUUGCCAAACCACAGUUCAUACAGCUCAUCUCAACGGAUUUAGAUGGUGCCCUAUUUAAAGUGAAUGUAGCUGUCUCUAAUGCAUAACUCUAAAACAAUAGUGGCAAAUCACCUAGAGACAUCAUAGAACACACCAUAUCCAACAAGGUUCGAUUGUGACAUUCGGAAACACCAUUAUGUUGUGGUGUUACAGGUGGCGUUAAAUGUGAAACAAUCCACAUUGUCUUAGGUGAUUGCCAGACUAAUAACUCAGAUAUUCUCCCCCUCGGUCAGAUCGUAGGAAUUUAAUCUUCUUGUGACGACGAUUCUCAACUUCACUCUGAAAUUGCUUGAACUUUUCAAAUGUUUUAGACUUGUGUUUCAUUUAGUAAAUAUACCCAUAUCUACUUAAGUCAUGAGUGAAGGUGAGAAAAUAAAAAUAUCCACCGCGCGCCUCAAUGCUCAUCGGACCACACUCAUCAGUAUGUUUCAUUUCCAAUAAGUCACAUGCCCACUCCAUUGUUUUGGAGAACGAGGUUUUAGUCAUCUUUGCCCUGAGGCAUGGUUCACAUAUGUCAAGCGAUUCAAAAUAAAGUGACUCCAAAAGUCCAUAAGCAUGGAGUUUCUUCAUGCAUUUUACACCAAUAUGACCUAAGCGGCAGUGCCACAAGAAAGUAGUACUAUCGUUAAUAAUUAUAUAUCUUUUGGCAUCAAUGUUUUGAACAUGUGUGUCAUCACUAUCGAGAUUCAAUAAGAAUAUAUCCCUCACAUUGGAUGCAUGACCAUAAAAGAUAUUACUCAUAUAAAUAGAACAACCAUUAUUCUCUGAUUUAAAUGAGUAAUUGUCUCACAUCACACAAGAUACAGAUAUAAUGUUCGUGCUCAACGCAGGCACUAAAUAACAAUUAUUCAGGUUCAUCACUAAUCUCGAUGGUAGUUGAAGAGCGAUCGUGCCAAUGGCGAUCACAUCAACCUUGGAACCAUUUCCCACGUGUAUCGUUAUUUCGUCCUUCGCCGCCUCCGUCCAUUCCAUAGUUCCUUCUUUGAGUUGCUAAUGAGAGCGACCAGACCUCAAACAGUCCAGUCUCUAUGCAUCUGUGUCAUCCCUGGAUCGUUAAUGCUAACACACACAGUACUUGAGGAUUUAUAAGAGAGUUUCAAUCACACCCUUAUUACAUCGAAUGUCUCAAAAGAGAACUUAUUACAAUNNNNNNNNNNNNNNNNNNNNNNNNNNNNNNNNNNNNNNNNNNNNNNNNNNNNNNNNNNNNNNNNNNNNNNNNNNNNNNNNNNNNNNNNNNNNNNNNNNNNAAUGCCGAGUAUUUCGUAGCGACAAUCAUAACAUCGUAUUUACUGGUUUCCGUAGAGGUGAUCUAUACAUUGUUGAUUUCUCUAAGAUAUCCAAACCCCAUACAUGCCUUGUUGCAAAAUCUUCUAAAGGUCGGUUUUGGCAUAGAAGGCUUGGACACGUUGGUAUGCGUAAUCUUGACAAACUUAUCAAAGGUGAUCAUAUUAUUCGUGUUAAAGAUGUUAUCUUUGAAAAAGAUAGACUUUGUAGUGCCUGUCAAGCAGGAAAACAAGUUGGUGGAAGUCAUCCCGUGAAGAACAUCAUGACCACAAGAAGACCCCUAGAGCUGCUUCACAUGGAUCUCUUUGGUCCCAGUGCUUACAAGAGCCUUGGUGGAAAUUAUUAUGGUCUAGUUAUUGUUGAUGAUUUUUCCAGAUUUACAUGGGUGUUCUUUCUCAAUGAUAAGUGGCAGGUACAAAUGAUCUUCAACAACUUCGCUCGAAAAGCUCAAAACCAGUUUGAAGUGAAGAUCAAGAAGGUUCGGAGCGACAAAGGAAUGGAGUUCAAGAACACUAAUGUGGAUACUUUCUUGAUGAAGAAGGUAUCUCACAUGAGUUCUCGGCAACAUCCACACCUCAACAAAAUGGAGUUGUUGAGAGGAAGAAUCGGACGCUCAUAGAGAUGGCGAAAACGAUGCUUCACGAAUACAAGACUCCAAGACACUUUUGGGCAGAAGCCGUGGAAACAGCUUGCCAUGGCAUAAACCGACUCAACCUGCACAAUCUUCUUGGUAAAACGGCAUACGAGCUACUCACCGUUAACAAACCCCAAGUUGGAUACUUUCGAGUAUUCGACUCUAAGUGAUAUAUUCUUGAUACGCAUCAUCGAUCUAAAUUUGCACCUAAAUCUUGUGAAGGUUUCCUUCUUGGUUACGGAUCAAACUCUCACGCCUACCAUGUCUACAACAACUUCACUCGAAAAGUUGAAGAGAUGGUAGAUGUGAAAUUUGAUGAGACUAACGGUUCGCAAGUCGAACAAUUGCCAAUUGAUAUAGGAGAUAAGGAACCUUCGGAAGCUAUCAAAGAUUUGUCCAUUGGCAAGAUUCGUCCAAUGGAGGUGAAGGAAAGCACUUCAACAACUCACGUGGAAGCUCCUACUUCGCGUCAAGGCGAACCGCAAAAUGACAUGGAAGCAUCCACAAGCGGAACACGACAUGAUGAAGAAGAGGAAGAAGUACAUCGUGAUGAUCUACCUCAACCUUCCUCACCACCACCUCAAGGAGAAGAUGACGCCAAUGAUAAUGCUCAAGAUGAUGAUGAUGAAGAAGAAGAUCCUCCCCAAACAAGAAUAAGUUUUCAAGAGUUAGAGCAAGAGUGGACAGAGAUCAUCCGCUGAAACAAAUCUACAUCGACAUAAACAACGAGAGAAUCACUCGCUCUAAAUCUCGAUUAGCUAACUUUUGUGAGCAUUAUUUUUUCAUAUCUAGCAUUGAACCCUUGAAGGUAGAAAAAGCUCUCCAAAAUCCAGAUUGGGUGAAUGCCAUGCAUGAAGAGCUACGCAACUUUGAGAGGAACCAAGUUUGGACACUUGUCGAAAAACCAGAAGGCGAGCAGAAUAUCAUUGGUACAAUAUGUGUGUUUCGGAACAAGCAAUAUGAAGAGGGACAAGUUGUAUGCAACAAAGCACGUCUCGUAGCCCAAGGAUACACGCAAGUCGAAUGUAUGGACUAUGGUGAUACUUAUGCUCCUAUCUGUAGACUUGAAUCCAUUUGUAUUCUUCUAGCUUAUGCUAAUCAAUAUGAUAUAACUCUCUACCAAAUGGAUAUUAAAAGUUCCUUUCUCAAUGGAUAAAUUCAAGAGGAAGUUUAUGUUAAANNNNNNNNNNNNNNNNNNNNNNNNNNNNNNNNNNNNNNNNNNNNNNNNNNNNNNNNNNNNNNNNNNNNNNNNNNNNNNNNNNNNNNNNNNNNNNNNNNNNGGAUCUCUGGGAUGGAACCGGUUGACACAAGCCAGUUGACCUAUGCAUGCUCGAGUGAUAUAUUGCAGGGUUUGUGCUAGAUGAACCAUACCGUGGGGCGAGUCUGACGAAACUGAAUCACGAAACAGAGAUAUCUCUGUUGCCAGGACGGGAUGCACGCUGCGGCGGCUAGCUAGGGCUGCGGUCUGGAGGUGCGGGAACGGAGAGGUUCGUGGCCGAUGCUUGGGGAUGGGGCGCUAGGUCGCAGAUCCGUCCGCGGGGCAACGGAUCGAGACGGAGUUGGGGCGGGAUCCAUGGCAGGGUGCUCUAUCAACGCCAUGAGCGCACCUGCCGCUUUUGCUCUCCCUGGUCUCUACAGAAAAGAGACAUAGCUGCAGAUAUAAGAUGGAGCAGAGGGAAAACGGAGGGAGGAGAAGAGAGGGCAAGGGAGAGGUCCUUCCAAGACCUGCUACUCCUGUCGUAGCCGACAAGGCCGGCUUCGGGCGGUCGAGCGCGUCAGGGGCAUUGGGGCACCGCGGUUGAGCUCCUGCUGGAGCACAAGGAGCUCGAGCAGCUGAUCUGGACCAUGGGCGCGAGGGGAGCUGCAGACGGGCUGGAUCUGGAAACCGAGGAAGUAGGAGAAAGGGAGCAGGGAGAGGGCCGGCCUGGUCGGGAAGCAUGGGGAGAGGCUCCAUGGAACACCAGUGUUGGGGCUGCAAGGCUGGUCGGGAGGUGGAGCUUGAGGACGAGGUGCGGCUGUGGGAGGCUCGACGGGGAUUGGCACGGGGUGAUUUGGAUCGUAGGUGUGGGUGCCUAGUUGAUUCGGUGGGGAAAACAAGAAAGACAGUGGCGGCGGCGGCUGAUAGAUGGAUGGGACAGAUGGAGGGGAAUCCCUAGAAUUUAGGGUUGGGUUUAAAUUAGGCACGGGAGGGCUCUCUAUUCAUAGGAAACAUGCUAGGUUAGCGAUUUGCUCCGUUUUCGGGCCGUUGGAUAGUGUUCCGACGGCUCCGAUCGAAGCGGGUUGGCUUGGUGCGUUGGUUCGGCCGUGUAGAGUGGGUGUUGGGCUAAGACGAGAAGGAAAUGGUGCGACCCGGCAACAAUAUUUUAAAAUCGAGAAACGUUCGACGACAACCGAAUACGGUGCCGCUACGGUCGACCGUUCGGGUACCAUACGGACUCGGAUUGCGACAAAAUUGACAGGCGGCCUACAUAUAUCUAAAAAAGACCGCACGUCAAAUCUCAACCCAAUCAGAGAAACUUUUACGCACACUUAUAAAAAACAAGGAUUUGACGAAGCCGUGGGUGCGUGCGUGUGUGAACGGGCUAAGAACGAACAACGACGAGAAUCGACAACUAACAACGGAUGCAAGUUUGAAAUCUGGCGGCAACGGGUUGCCGAUGCAAUGUUGAUGAGGGGCAUGAUGCGAUGAUGAUGCGACAAAAGAAAAAUAGACACACGACGAAAACGGAAUAGAAGGGGAAUGUUCUAGAACGUCGGCAUCGGGCUGUCACACUCCGGCAGGACGAUCCUGCCGGGGAAACUUCCCUCCCGGAGGGGGAAAUCUUCGCCAUCGUCAUCACCAACACUCCUCUCGUCGGAGGGGAGUCAUCUCCAUAAACAUCUUCAUCAGCACCAUGUCCUCUCCAAACCCUAGUUCAUCUCCUGUAACCAAUCUCCGUCUCGCGACUCCUAUUGGUACUUGUAAGGUUGCUAGUAGUGUUGAUUACUCUUUGUAGUUGAUGCUAGUUGGAUUACUUGGUGGAAGAGUUUAUGUUCAGAUCCUUGAUGCUACUUAUUACAUCUCUGAUCAUGAUUAUGAUUAUGCUUUGUGAGUAGUUACUUUUGUUCCUGAGGACAUGGGAUAAGUCAUGCUACUAAUAGUCAUGUGAAUUUGGUAUUCGUUCGGUAUUUUGAUAUGUUGUAUGUUGUUUUUCCUCUAGUGGUGUUAUGUGAACGUCGACUACAUAACACUUCACCAUAUUUGGGCCUAGAGGAAGGCAUUGGGGAGUAGUAAGUAGAUGAUGGGUUGCUAGAGUGACAAAAGCUUAAACCCCAGUCUAUGCGUUGCUUCGUAAGGGGCUGAUUUGGAUCCACUAGUUUAAUGCUAUGGUUAGACGUUGUCUUAAUUCUUCUUUCAUACUUGCGGAUUCUUGAGAGAGGGGUUAAUCAUAAGUGGGAUGCAUGUCCAAGUAAGGGCAGUACCCAAGUGCCGGUCCACCCACAUAUCAAACUAUCAAAGUAACGAACGCGAAUCAUAUGAACAUGAUGAAACUAGCAUGACAGAAAUUCCCGUGUGUCCUCGGGAGCAUUUUUCCUCUUAUAAGACUUUGCUCAGGCUUGUCCCUUNNNNNNNNNNNNNNNNNNNNNNNNNNNNNNNNNNNNNNNNNNNNNNNNNNNNNNNNNNNNNNNNNNNNNNNNNNNNNNNNNNNNNNNNNNNNNNNNNNNNUAUAUCUUUCUUUUUAUUAACAUGCUAUGAUGAUGGGUGUCCACUCGUAAACCACAAAAACACAACUAAACUUUAUUAUAUAUCUCGCAUACUCGUUUACAAGGAUAGAUGGAACUCAAAGCAAAAAUUCUAAGCAAAGCAAAUCUGAAAUUUAUUUCUCUAAAUCACGAAACAACUAAGGAUCAAACUAAAAUACAUAGUAAUGAUGGAAGUGAUGGUGAUUUGAUACCGGGGCACCUCCCCCAAGCUUGGAACAAGCCAAGUGUGGUGCCCAUUCCAAAGUGCUCAAGCAUCCUUCUUAGGUGAUGGUGGUGGUGUAGGGGGGUGUCCUCAUUAAUCCAGGGUGUAGACUCCCCGUCACAGAAAUAAAUUUUUGUCUUGGGAGUUCUGAAACUAGCAGCGAAGCUCAUCCUUUGAAACCUAGAUUCAUACUCACAGUUUUGAUCUUGAAGUUCAUAAACUUAAUCUUGGAGGUGAUUAAUCCAAUCCUGAAGGUUAGAGAGAAUCUCCCGUGCGUUCUUGGUGUCCAACUUGUUUUCUCGGAUGAAAUCCGUGUUCAUGGAGUGGUUAGCACUCAGAUCACGCUCCACCAUCCCUUGGCACUUCAAGAUCUCCUAUUCCACCGUUGCAAGCUUGGCCUUCUCGCUUCUCUCCUUCUUGGGACCUUGAACAUGCCGGAUGUUAAGCACCCCCUCAUGCAUCUCAAUGGCUUGAGGGUGCCUCAUCAUCUCGUGUAGGUAGGAGUUGAUGACCUUAUCGAAGAACUUGUCCUUAGAAGGGCUUGGUGAAGUCAUGGCGAUCUAAAUAUGUCUGUAAAACAGCUCGAAACAAGAACAGAGGAAAAUUUUGCGAUGUGGUGGUAAAAACACCCGGGAGUAUAUAGGAUGAUUUUUUCCAAGUAAGAAUAAGUGAUGACGACGAAUUCGGAGUCUGGGAAGCGCACGAGGGCCCCACAAGAUAUCAUGGCACGGCGAGAGGGCCCUCCUAUUAGCUUGUGCCUCCCUCGUGGGUCCCCAGGACUCCAUUUUAUUUUAUUUUAAUUUUUCUAAAAUAACAAAACCAGCAAAAAAAGUUGGGAAUCUUUGGAGUCGGUUUGCUUAUCGUACCACGUACUUGCCCCUUUUUCAGGUUUCUCGAGUGUUCCAAAAAGUUUCCUUUAUGUGUUCCUCCGAUGUUAUGACUUGGAUGACGUUAGUAUCCUCGUUAAUGGGUGUACCUAAAAUAUAAUGCUUGAUUCUUUUCCCAUUAAGCACUCUAGGGUAUUUACCUUUGAAAUUAUUGAUUUUCAUACCACUAGAGCGAUAGACCUCCUCGACAACAUAGGGUCCUUCCCAUUCAGAGAAGAGUUUCCCUCAAAAAAUCUAAAACGAGAAUUGUACAAAAGCACUAAGUCUCAUACAUUGAAUUCUCGUUUUUGAAUUCUUUUGUCAUGCCAUCUUGUAACCUUUUCCUUAAAGAACUUAGCAUUUUCAUAAGCUUGUGUCCUCCAUUCAUUUGUGGCUAAUAUCGAAUAAUCUUUUCUCAUCGGCAAGUUUAAAAUUGUAGUUAAGUUCCUUAAUUGCCAAAUAAACUUUAUGUUCUAACUCAAUAGGUAAAUGACAAGCUUUUCCAUAGACCAUUUUAUAUGGGGACAUCCCCAUGGUAUUCUUAUAAGCAGCCCUAUAAGUUCACAAAGCAUCAUCAAGUUUCUUAGACCGAUUCUUUCUAGACCUUUUGACAGUCUUUUGCAAAAUUAAUUUUAUUUCACGAUUCCUUAGUUCCACUUGACCACUAGACUCAGGAUGAUAAGGUGAUGCAAUUCUAUGGUUAACAUCAUACUUAGCUAGUAACUUACGGAAAGCACCAUGAAUAAAAUAUGAACCACCACUAGUCAUUAAAUAUUUAGGGACACCAAACCUCGGAAAGAUAAUGUCUUUAAGCAUUUUAAUAGAAGUGUUAUGGUCAGUACUACUAGUUGGAAUAGCUUCUACCCAUUUAGUAACGUAAUCAACAACAACUAGAAUGUGAGUAUAUCCAUUGAAAGAAGGAAAAGGUCCCAUAAAGUCAAAACUCGACACAUCAAAUGGUUCAAUAGGAAGUGAAUAGUUCAUAGGCAUUUCCUGAUGUUUACUAAUAUUACCCACUCUUUGGCAUUCAUCAAAAUAAAGGGCGUACUUACGAGCAUCUCUAAAAAGAGUAGGUCAACAGAAACCGGAUUGUAAUACCUUGUGUGUGCAGUUCUAUCACCAGCAUGAUGUCCUCCGCAGUCCUCGAAAUGACACUUCCAUAGAAUUUGUUCCUGCUCAUGCUUAAGUAUUCAACGCCUAAUAACACCAUCUACUCCUUUAUAAAGAUGUGGGUCAUCCCAAAAGUAAUGUCAUAAAUCAUAGAAUAUAUUUUUUCUUUCGUUGAUAGGUGAAACUUGGUGGAAUAUAUUUAGCAACAAUGUAAUUGAAAUAAUACGCAUAACAAGGUGUACUACAUGAAGUGUUUACAACAGGAAGUUGCUCAUUAGGAAAAUUAUCAUCAAUAGGCACUGGGUCAUCAAGAAUAUUUUCCAUCCUAGACAAAUUAUCAUCAAUAGGCACUGGGUCAUCAAGAAUAUUUUCCAUCCUAGACAAGUUAUCUGCUAGAGGGUCAUCAACAAUGUCAUCAAGAAUGUUUACAACUCCCUUUCUAUCAAUGAUAUGCAAAUCAAAUUCUUGGAGUAGUAACACCCAUCUAAGAAGUCUAGGUUUAGCAUCUUUCUUUUCCAUGAGGUACUUAAUAGCAUCAUGAUCAGUGUGAAUAGUUACUUUAGAAUCAACAAUGUAAGGUCUAAACUUAUCACGUGUAAGCAUAACUGCUAAAAGUUCCUUUUCAGUAGUAGCAUAAGUUCUUUGAGCGGUGUCUAGGAUCUUACUAGCAUAAUGCAUAAAAUUCAAUUUCUUGUGUACUCUUUGCCAUAGAACAACAUCAACAACAUAAUCACUAGCAUCAAACAUAACUUCAAAUGAUAGGUUCCAAUCAGGUGGUUGAACGAUAGGUGCAUAAAUUAAGGCUUUCUGAAGUAUUUUAAAGGCUUCUACACAAUCACCAUCAAAAACAAAAGGAACAUCUUUUGGGAUAUGAUUAGUUAAUGGCCUAGAAAUCUUUAUUGAAACGCCUAUAGAAACUAGCAUGACCAAGGAAACUUUUUAUACCUUUGGCAUCUCUUGGGCAAGGCAUUUUCUCUAUCGUAUCAACUUUGGCCUUAUCCACCUCAAUACCAUGUUCAGAAAUUUUAUGCCACGCAGUAUGCCUUCAUUCACCAUAAAGUGGCACUUCUCCCAAUUCAAGACAAGAUUGGUUUCUUCACAUCUCUGUAAAACUCGAUGAAGGUGGCUCAAGCGAUCAUCAAAGGAACUCCCAUAAACAAAAAAACAUCAAUGAAGACCUCAACAAUCUUUUCAGGAAAGUCAGAGAAUAUAGCAUUCAUACAUAUCCAAAGGUAGCAAGUUCAUUGCAUAGACCAAAAUGCAUACACCUAUAAGCGUAAGUUCCAAAUGGGCAAGUAAAGGUAGUUUUCUCUUGGUCCACUUUUGACACAGGUAUUUGAGAGAAUCCAGAGUAACCAUCGAGAAAACAAAAGUGUGUGUGCUUAGAUAAUAUUUCUAACAUUUGAUAAAUAAAAGGCAAGGGGUAAUGAUCUUUCUUUAUGGACUUAUUAAAUUUCCUACAAUCAUUUACCAACCAAUAACAAGUUGCUAUCCUUGGUGGAAUAAGUUCAUUUUUAUUAUUAGGAACAACAGUUAUAACACCUUUCUUAGGAACACAAUGAACAUGACUCAUCGAGCUACUAUCAACAAUUGGGUAGAUUAUACCUGCUUCCAGAAGUUUUACUAUUUCAGUUCUUACCACCUCUUUCAUUUUAGGGUUGAGACGACAGUGAUGAACAACAACUGGUUUAUCGUCAGGUUCCAUAUUAAUCUUGUGCUGCCAGAUAGUGGAGAUUAUGCCUUUAAGAUCAUCAAGAGUAUAUCCAAUAGCAGCUAUGUGCUUCUUUAAAGUUUUGAGUAAUCUCCUUUCUUCAUGUUCUAAAAGGUUAGCACUCAUGAUAAUAGGACAUAUCUUCUUCUCAUCCAUAUAAGCAUAUUUCAAACUAUGUGGAAAAGCCUUAAGCUCAAAUACAUGAUCUCCCUCGGGUGGAGGAGGAUCCCUAAAAUUUCAACUGUCAAAUUAUGCUUAAUAAUAUGUUGUUGAUCAAGGAGUAUCCUAUCUAUUUCAUUUCUUUCAUUCAAAUGCAUAUCAUUCUCAUGGUCUAGCAAAUAUUGUUCUAGUGGAUCUGUAGGAUGUAUAAUAAUAGAAGCAAGACCAAUUAUUUCAUCCUUACUAGGUAAUUAUUUUUCAUGAGGCUGCUUUCUAAAUUAGAGAAGUUAAACUCAGGAGAAAUAUCACCAAAGAUCUCUUUAACCUUCUUAGUAGCACAAUUAAUUUCACCAUUAACCGUAUUCAAGAAAGGUCUACCAAAUAUGAUACGACAAAAAUUAUCUUGUUCUGAACCAAGUACUAAGAAAUCAGUGGGAUACUUGACCUUUCCAGACAACACCUCAACAUCCCUAACAAUCCCGGGUGGCGAAAUGUUGUCAUGGUUUGCAAGCUUAAUAGUGACAUCAAUUUCGUAAUCGGGGCUCCGCAGACCUAAGAAAAGGUUCGGAAUCUAGGGUGCACUCGCUCUCCUACCCUGUUCUACCUCUCAACUCCACAGUGAUUCUUCGACGGCACGAGCUAAGGGAAGGGAACUAGAACAAAUGGCAGUUUACCCAGGUUCGGGCCACCUUGGGGUGUAAAAUCCUACUCCUCCUUGUUUGGGAUUGCUUGAGGUGGAAGACGAGUACAAAUGUGGGUUCUUUUCCUAGCAAAGAUGAUGGAUCUCCGAUCCUCUACUACGGAGGCUAGGCCUCUCUUUUAUACUGGCCUUGGUCCUCUUCCUCUCUAAAAGCAUUGGCGGGAAAAGUUGCCACAACGACCGUUUUGAAAGGGGACAUGACUGUAGUCUGUCCUGACAAAGGUGGUCUUCGCCUGCAAAAGCUUCUCUUCAUGACAUGCUAGUGGGAUAGGGGGUGACCUCCGUCCUGCCGAGCACCCACCCUUAGUCCUCUUGCAUCUACCGGGAAACCUUUGGGAGGUUGCUUUGGGGCCAGUCAUUCGGCCUCGCUUCCUUAGCACGGAAGUGGAAAUCCUCCCUAUCUGUGCCUGCUCGCACUACCCUUGUGCCGCCUUCAUCACCUACAUGGAGGCGCAUGGCCGUGGGGCCCUGCCACGUCGCCCUCAGCGAGCUAGCCUCGCGAGAGCCUUAGGGGUGGCCUUGAGACACGCCCUUGCCAUGGGCAACCCCUCGUGAUCCUCAUCGGUGAUUCCUUGACGCUUGCCUCGCAAGGCAGGGGCCCUCGCGAGGGUAUUCCUUGUCGGGCUUGUCGAUGGAUCUCGUGGGUACAACGUACAACCUUUGCAGAGUGUCAAAAUAUUCGAAUAGCUGUGUCCACGGUCAAGGACAGUUGGGUGGUGCAGCUUAAACUACGUCUAGUGUUUUCCGCAUAAACCAAGUGUGCGUGUGUAAAAAGGUGUUACAUGAGAAAGUGAUUACUUGGGCAAGUUUGGUGACUUGACAUGGAGGAUGAACUGGAGGUGUUUUGUCCUUGAAAUAUUUAUGUUGAUAUGUGUAGCGUGUUCUUAUGGUUACUCUUUACCUAGUGAUGCAUGUCCAUAUAAAUACUUGACCAUGUUUAUGCAUUAAUAAAAACAUGCUUUUCGCAAAGGCUGCAUUGUACUUCGUAUUGCACUCAAUUACAUAAUCAACAUCAUGGGCUGUUUGUAAGUACAUUCAAAGUACUCAUUGGCUUGCCAGUGGUUAUUUCAUUGACCAGGAAAGAGAGAACAAGAGAUGGUGAAGAGUACCUUGGUGACGUUCCUGUGAGCUAGGACGCUUCCCAGUCAGAAUGCAUGUAGGUUAAGGCUGAGGGCAUGGGUUCACGCUUUCGACCAGUAUUUCCGCUAUUGGUCAAGUUUGCUAUAUGGGACUCCAAGGCCCUAUCUAUGUAAGACUUGACCGCAAAGGUCAUUAUUUGUAUCAGAUGGUAUGUAUGGAUGUAAGACUCUUGUUAUUCAGUUUCUGUGUGUUCAGUGAGCAUUGAUAUCGGGGAUCACUCAGCACGUUCAUCCGGCGAUCAUGACUCGUAAGUUGGGGUCCCCACACUAACCCAACAUGCCUCAUGACACGUAUGGCUCAGGCUCGGGGGCUUCUGUCGGGGUACACAUAUAGGGUGUUUAUUUCCCCUAACUUGUGCACGGACGACGAGCCACCGACCCGACUACCUAAGGCUGCCGGGGAAUGCUACAACUCCAUCAAGACCUGGCCACGACCAGAGAGGAACGCUAUUGAUGAUCCACAAGUGUAGUGGAUCUAUUGUAGUACUUUUGAUAAGUAAGAGUGUCGAACCCAACGAGGAGCAGAAGGAAAUGACAAGCGGUUUUCAGUAAGGUAUUCUCCGCAAGCAAUGAAAUUAUCAAUGACAAAUAGUUUUGUGAUAAGGUAAUUCCUAACGGGUAGCAAGUAACAAAUGUAACAAUGGUGCAGCAAGGUGGACCAAUCCUUUUUGUAGAGAAGGACAAGUCUGGACAAACUCUUAUAUAAUAAAAAGCGCUCCCGGGGACACAUUGGGGUUUAUGUCAAGCUAGUUUUCAUCAUGCUCAUAUGAUUCACGUUCGUUACUUUGAUAAUUUGGUAUGUGGGUGGACCGGUGCUUGGGUGCUUCCCUUACUUGGACAAAUAUCCCACUUAUGAUUAACCUCUCUCCAAAGCAUCCGCAACUACGAAAGAAGAAUUAAGAUAAAUCUAACCAUAGCAUGAAACAUAUGGAUCCAAAUCAGCCUCUUACGAAGCAACACAUAAACUAGGGUUUAAGCAUUUGUCACUCUAGCAACCCAUCAUCUAGUUAUUACUUCCCAAUGCCUUCCCCUAGGCCCAAAUAAUGGUGAAGUGUCAUGUAGUCGACGUUCACAUGACAGCACUAGAGGAGAGACAACAUACAUCUUAUCAAAAUAUCGAACGAAUAACAAAUUCACAUGAUUACUUGUAACAAGACUUAUCCCAUGUCCUCAGGAACAAACGUAAUUACUCACAAAGCAUAUUCAUGUUCAUGAUCAGAGGAGUAUUGAUAAUCAUUAAGGCUUUGAACAUAUAAACUUUCACCACAUAAACCAACUAGCAUCAACUACAAGGAAUAAUCAACACUACUAGCAACCCACAUGUACCAAUCUGAGAUUUUGAGACAAAGAUCAGAUACAAGAGAUGAACUAGGGUUUGGAGAGGAGAUGGCGCCGAUGAUGAUGUUGAUGGAUAUUGACCCCCUCUCGAUGAGAGGAUCGUUGGUGAUGAUGAUGGCUUCGAUUUCCCCCCUCCGGGAAGGAAGUUUCCCCGACGGAAUAGCUCCAUUGGAGCUCCAGAUUGGUUCUAUUGAAGUUUCGCCUCGAUACGGUGGCGCCUCGUCCCGAAAGCUCUCAUAUGAUUUUUCCACGUCAAAACCCUUCAUGUAGCAGAAGAUGGGUACCAGAGGCCUGCCAGGGGGCCCACAAGCCUGUAGGGCGCAGCCAGGGGGUAGGUCGCGCCCCUGGCUUGUGACCUCCUUGUGGGUCCCCUCUAGUAUUUCUUUGCCCAUUAUUUUAUAUAUAUUCCAAAACAAUUCUUCGUAACUCUUCAUGACUUUUGGAGCUAUGCAGAAUAGGUCUCUAAGAUUUUGUACUUUUCCAGUCCAGAAUUCCAGCUACCGACAUUCUCCCUCUUCAUGUAGAUCUUGUAAAAUCAGGGAGAAAAGGCAUAAGUAUUGUACCAAAAUGUUUAUUAACAACCGAUAAUGCAAUAAAUAUUGAUAUAAAAUCAUGAUGCAAAACGGACGUAUCAACUCCCAUAAGCUUAGACCUGGCUUGUCCUCAAGCGAAAGCCGAGAUCAAUAAAUAUGCCCACAUGUUUAGAGACAGUGGUGUCGAUAAAACAAAAUAUGGACAUGAAGGCAUCAUGGUUAUCUUUAGAACAACAACACAUAUUGACAUAUAAUUUCUUAUGCUAGAGUAAGAAUUCAUUCACAAGGAAAAAUAUGAAUCAAGAACUCUAUUGAGAAUUAACAAACUAUGAUUUUAGUCAUUGAAGAAAUUCCAAUUUAUCGCAACGUAGGAAAGAGUCAAUAUGAGAGCUUGUAAGGCAAAUCCACAUACUCAACCAUCUAAUGGUCUUUCAUAAUUGCUAACACUCAUGCGGUACCUAUGAGGUGAAAGCUUCAAUCGGACACAUAGAAAGAUAGGGGCUUAUAGUUUUGCCUCCCAUAUAUUUACCUCAAGGGUAAUGUCAACAAUAAUAACUCAUGAUCAACCACAUCCAAGUGGAUAUAUUGGUCUAGAUCAUUCCCCAACACAUUCGAUGUGUUCAUGGAUGUUUUUCCAUUUAAGGGACUUAUUUUGAUGAUUGCUUAAGAACCUUGAUUGAGUUUCGUAGAUAUGUGAAGAAACUAAUCUCGUCUUGAAUUGGGAGAAGUGCCACUUUAUGGUGAAUGAAGGUAUAGUACUUGGUCAUAAAAUUUCCAAAUGAGGUAUUCAGGUAGAUAAAGCUAAAGGUGAUUCAAUUGAGAAAAUGCCAUGUCCUAAAGAUGUUAAAGGCAUAAUUUUUUUCUUUGUCAUGUUGGUUUCUAUCGAAAAUUUAUUAAAGAUUUCUCAAAGAUUUAUAGUCCACUAACUGAUCUUCUUCAAUGAAUUUUCCAUUUGUUUUUUAUCAUGAUUGUGUAGAAGCCUUUGAAAUACUUAAGAAAGCCUUAAUUUCUACACCUAUUGUUAAACCACCUAAUUGGAACCUACCAUUUGAAAUUAUGUGUGAUGCUAAUGAUUAUUAUUUUGGUGUUCUUCUUGGACAAAGAGUUGAUAAGAAAUUGAAUGUUAUUCAUUAUGAUAGUAAAACUCUAGACAACGCUCAAAAUAAUUAUGCUACUAUUGAGAAAGAAUUUUUUGCGGUUGGUGUUUACAUGUGAUAAGUUUAGACCUUAUAUUGUUGAUUCUAAAGUUACUAUUCAUAGCAAUCAUGCUUCUAUUAAAUAACUUGUCUAUGAUACAUAGGGAGCUGAGGAUCCUCUAGAAGAUAAUUUGUCUAUGAUGGAAAAUGUUCUUUAUGACACCCUUCCUGUUGAUGAUAGUUUUCCGGAUGAGCAAUUAGCUAUUAUAAAUGCUUCUCAUAAUACUCCUUGGUAUGCAGACUAUGCUAAUUAUAUUUUUGCUAAAUAUAUACCACCUAGUUUCACAUACCAACAAAAGAAAAAGUUCUUGUUUGAUUGAAUACAUUACUUUUGGGAUUACCCACAUAUAUAUAAAGAAGGAGUGGAUGGUGUUAUUAUACGUUGUGUACCUGAGCAUGAAUAGGAACAAAUCCUAUGGAAGUUUCAUUCUAAGACAUACGGAGGACACCACGCUGGAGACAGAACAACACAUAAGGUAUUAUAGUCUGGUUUUUAUUGGCCGACUCUCUUCAAGGAUGCUCGUAAGUUUUUCCUUUCUCAUGAUGUGAAUAUCAAAGAAUUGGUAAUAUUGCUAGAUUGCAGGAAAUUUCUAUGAAUCAUUCUCGUGUUAUCGAACCAUUUGAUUUUUGGGGCUUUGAUUAUAUGGGACCUUUUCCUUGCUCUAAUGGGUACACUCAUAUUUUAGUUGUUGUUGAUUACGUUACUAAGUGGGUGGAAGCUAUUCAAACUAGUAGUGACGAUGAUAACACUUCUAUUAAAAUGUUGAAAGUGGUUAUCUUUUCAAGGUUUGGAGUCCCUAGAUAUUUAAUGACUAGUGGUGGUUCACAUUUUAUUCAUGGUGCUUUCUGUAAACUUCUAGCUAAAUAUGAUGUUAACCAUAGAACUGCAUCAUCUUAUCAUCCUCAGUCUAGUAGUCAAGUUGAGUUGAGCAACAGAAAAAUAAAAUUGAUCUUUCAAAAUAUUGCCAAUAUAUCUAGAAAGAAUUGGCUUAGAAAUCUUGAUGAUGCAUUAUGGGCUUAUAGAAAUUCUUAUAAAAAUCCUAUGGGUAUGUCUCUAUAUAAAAUGGUCUAUGGAAAAGCAUGUCAUUUACCUCUUAAGUUUGAACAUAAAGCUUAUUGGGAAAUUAAAGAACUUAAUUAUGAUUUCAAACAUGUUGGUGAGAAGCGGUUAUUUGAUAAUAGCUCUUCAGAUAAAUGAAGGACACAAGCUUAUGAAAAUUCUAAGUUGCUAAUGGAAAAAGUUAAAAGAUGGCAUGACAAAAGAAUCUAGAAAUGGGAAUUUGAAGUAGGCGAUCAAGUUAUUUUGUACAACUCGCAUUUCAGAUUCUUUGUAGAAUAUCUUCGCUCUAAAUGGGUGUUGAAAAUAUGCCCUAGAGGCAAUAAUAAAGUGGUUAUUAUUAUAUUUCCUUGUUCAUGAUAAUCGUAUAUUCGACAUGCUAGAAUUGUAUUUAUUCGAAACUCAAAUACAUGUGUGGGUACAUAGACAACACUGUGUCCCUAGUGUGCCUCUAAUGCACUAGGUCGUUAAUCAAAGAUGGUCAAGGUUUCCUAGCCAUAGACAUGACUUGUCAUUUGAUAACGAGAUCACAUCGUUAGUAGAAUGAUGUGAUGGACAAGACCCAAACUAUGAACGUAGCAUAUGAUCGUGUCAGUUUAUUGCUAUUGUUUUAUGCAUGUCAAGUUUUUGUUCCGGUGACCAAGAGAUCAUGCAACUCACUGACACCGGAGGAGUACCAUGUGUGUAUCAAACGUCGCAACGUAACUGGGUGACUAUAAAUAUGCUGUACUGGUAUCUCCAAGGGUGUUUGUUGAGUAGGCAUGGAUCAAGAUUGAGAUUUGUUACUCCAUGUGGCAGAGAGGUAUCUCAGGGCCCACUCGGUAAUACAACAUCACAAUGAUCUUGCAAGCAAUAUUACUAAAGAGUUGGGCAUGGGAUCUUGUAUUAUGGAACGACUAAAUAUACUUCCCGGUAAUGAGGUUGAACUAGGUAUGGAGAUACCAGCGAUCGAAUCUCGGGCAAGUAACAUACCGAUGAACAAAGGGAACUACAUACAUGAUUAACUGAAUCCUUAACAAUGAGGUUCGACCGAUGAAGAUCUUCAUAGAAUAUGUAGGAACCAAUUUGGACAUCCAGGUCCCGCUAUUGGUUAUUCACCGUAGAGGUGUCUCGAUAAUGUCUACAUAGUUCUCGAAUCCACAAGGUCUACACACUUAACGUUUUGUGACGAUAAAAGCAUAGUCCAGUUAUUAUGUUGGUGAUCGAAUGUGGUUCAGAGUCUCGGAUGAGAUCCGGACGUGACGAGGAACUCCGAAAUGGUUCGGAGGUGAAGAUUGAUAUAUAGGAUGAGGGGCAUCGGAGUUCGGAAGUGUUCUGGGGCAUACCGGGGAAUGGACGGAGUGUCGAAAGGGGUUUCGGGGGGACCUCAUGGGCCAAGAAAAGGAGGCACACCAGCCCACAUGGGGCUGGGCGCCAUCCCAACCUGAUCCCACCAUGGCUAGGAGGUGGCCACACCCCCUAGGGCCGCGGGCCACCCAAAUCUUGGGAAGCAAGGCGCCUUGGGGAUGGGCCACCAGCCCUAGCCGCCCACCCUUGGCCGCCGACCCCUAGGGGAAAUGCUAGGGCACACUCCCCUCCUCCCUUCCCCUUAUAUAUAUAGAGGGAGAGAGAGGGCAGAUGCACAACAAUGUGGUACGUGCUCCUCCUCCUCUCCCUCGUACUUCUUCUCCUCUCACAAUCCCGCGGCGAAGUCCUACUGAUCUGUCAACACCACCACCUCACCACGCCGUCGUGCUGCCGGAGGAAUUGGGCUGCUACUUCACCAUUGCUCGCUGGAUCGAGGAGAUGAAGGUGUCAUCAAGCUAUACGUGUGUUGAACACGGAGGUGCCAUCCGUUCGGCGAUUGAUUGGGAGUUCGCGAGACGUAUCGUUAUUGGAUCGCGAAGAUGUUCAACUACAUCAACCGCGUUCUUUUACGUUUCCGCUAAAUGAUCUACAAGGGUAGGUGGAUACAAUCUCUCCUCUCGUAGAUGUGCAUCUCUGUAACAUCCCAAAUUUUCAAAUUGGAAUGUUAUGCAUUAGAUCAUCAUUGCAUAUCAUAUUUUAUUGCAUUCUUGGUUGACCCUAGAAAUUCUACGCGACUCAAGGACCCACACAAAGCGUUGAUGAUUUCGCUAUUUUCAUAAUUGAGUUUUCCCAAAUUUGGAAAAGAGGAUCAUUUGGUUUUAAUUAUUUUCUCUUCAAAUAUUGCUAAAUAUAAAAUAAAAGAGAGGGCAUAAAAUGACUUCCCCAAAAUAAAAAAAUAUUGGUGGAAAAAUAUGAAAAUCAAAUAAGAAUUUUACUCAGAGUUUUAUUGCUAUUUUAUUUGAAUUAGGAAAAAAAAUGCAUUUUUUUAAAAUUGAAUUAGAGGCCCAAAUAAAUGUUCACCUUGUGUGUCAUAUUUUUAGAGGACGAGGAAAAUUUAUUUCAGGAUUUUUGGAGUUCGUUUGGUAUUUCUUUUUUUUUAUCUUCUACGCGUCGGAAUUAUUUAAAAAAAAGUCAAACCAUUUAAACGGGUCGUGUCCGACCGGGACUCUAUGUCGUCGGCCUUUAUCAUGAGGUAGCCGUUUUAAAAAAAGCCGUAGAUUUAUUUUUAGAUAGGUUUAGUUAUUUUAUUCCCGGUUUAUUUAAUUAGCGUAUGUUCGUACGUACGUUCGUUUUAACGAACGAUGUUCAUCCGUUAUCCGCACACAGCGAAUGUUCGUUCGUUAGCCUAUUCGUCAGUUUUUCUUUUUCCAGGGAUUUUCCGCGAUUAUUUCCAAUCGCGAUUUCUGCCGUGAUUUUCGUUUUAGUUUAUCUUUUCGCUCGUUUAUCGGAAUCAGGUGAUUCAAACGUCCAAAUCUUCGUCUCGAAACCCUCUUUCUGUUUAACGAACUUGAACAAGAUUUUUGGAUUGUAAAAUUUGACUAUGGUCCAAAUUAGUAAACGAAUCUUGUUUCUUUUGUAGUUUGAGUUUCGUUGCUUCGUUUGUUUUGAUUCUUUUUGCAAACCGGAGUUCUUCAAUUGAACUUUCUGGUUAGAUCUCUUAUUUGAGUUUUACCCGUGCUUCUAGUUUGAGUGCUUAUGUAUGUUAUUGUUUGUUUACGAUAGAGUACCCGGAGUGCGAAGCAUGCUACUACGAGUCUCUAGGUUUUGCGGAUCAUCAGCAAGGCAAGUAACACUUUGAUCAUACCUCUUUACUACCCAGUUUAAUUGCAUUAGAUCAACACUCAAACAUUGCAUGGUUAGGAUCUGAUUAACGUGUGGGUUUUGGGAAGUAGAUGAUGAGUUGAACCUAUUCUCCUAUUUAUUAUCAAAUCUUUAGGAGUUACUUCUAUGUUUUGCUUAUUGCUAUGCUAUGCUCGUAGACAUGGAUUGGGUGAGUGUAUCCAUGACAUAUGUGAGUAUUGUUAAUUAAUGGUUCACUUAAGGUGGCUACUUAAAUACAGAUCUGGGUGGAUUUCUUGAGGCACCCUGGGGUACCCAGUGGUUGUCAGGGCACCUGGAGAAAUCCAGUGUUGUUCUAGGACAUCCCGGAGUAACCGUAUGAUCAUCCUACGGUCCGCCACCCAGGCUCAAAGGGAUCAUAAGAUUAUUCAUUCUAGAAUCUUCCGUGUGCAGCCACAUCUGGCAUAGUUGAGUAAGUUGCGUGAAGCUCUUGAAGCGGUAGACUAGCAGAUGUAGUGGGUUGUAGGUGGUACGGUCUACCCACAGUAGAGAGCUAAUGCUUCAGAAAGACUAUGCCUCGAUUCUCCGACCAUGGAUGUAUUGGAGUCUUGUGGGAAAAGUGCGCAAACCUCUACAGAUUGUACAAACUAAUCAUGGUUAGCCGUGUGCCCGGUUAUAGACAUCUUGAGUAUCUAAUUCUUGGAUUAUCAUGUUGAUCUCAUCACCCUAAAUAAAUUUGUUGGGUUUAAUGAUGAUGCUUAAUUGGGAUUGAGUUGGAGGAACCUUCUCAAUGUUUAACAACAACUAUGAUAGUUAAAUAAAACUUAUUCCGUUGUUGUAGGAUAAAGAUUGGCUUUAUGCAAAACUGUUAACCAUAGAGCUUUCCCCCAGCCAUAUAUGCAUGUAGAAAUAGCAUUUAUUCCGUUCAUUAAUCUAUGUGUUACAUUGCCAGCAUAUUCCAUGUGCUGACCCGUUUCGGGAUGCAACAUUUCGUGUUGCAGACUUUUAAGACGUCGAGUAAGGUGCCAUAGGUCGUUGUCUUUCACUCAGCUAUGCCGUUGGAGUUGAUGGUCUCACUUUAUCUUCCAAGCCUUCCGCUGUUAAUGUUUUAGAUGCCCUUAAGCCAUAUUAUUGUAAUAAGUUCUCUUUUGAGACAUUCGAUGUAAUAAGGGUGUGACUGAAACUCUGUUAUAAAUCCUCAAGUACUGUGCGUGUCAGCAUUACCGAUCCAGGGAUGACACAAAUGCAUAGAGACUGGACUGUUUGAGGUCUUGUCGCUACAAGAUGGUACCAGAGCCAAGUUGACUGUAGGACACGACCACUAAGCUAAAACCAUAGGUCACUCCUCUCUUCCCAUUUCUGACUCCUGUCCCCUUUCUUCUCUAUAGGAUGGUGGAUGCAAAGAACAAGUUCACACAACCGGAUGAAGAUACACCUUUUGGAAGACACUUGAAGGAAGUUACUAGGUACCUGAACAUCGGAAUACCAAGCUUCACCAGGACCUACAUCGCCACUUUACCAGAAGAGGAGCAUUGGAAGAUUCGAGUUCAAUUUCCAGGAAGGACGUUCAUGCCAGUCACUGAGCCCAUAGAGUUUUCCUUUGAUGCACCAACCUGGAGUCUAGGAAAGAGCAUGGCAGCCCACGUCACCAUGGGACGCAUUGGAGAAGUUUACCACAAGGAUCUCAAGGAUACUAUCUACCAGAUUUGUGGGCACCGAGACGAGCAAUGGGAGAUGAUCAGCACCAAGGGUACAGAUCCAUUGCAGCUUUCAUCCAGGAGUUAAACCAACACAUUCGACGCCAGGAGGACCAAAUGUGCACUGGCAUGAAUGAUUUGAAGAAGGAAAGGACCAGGAUUACGGAGCUGGAGGAAGAACUCAAAUCUACAUGCGAUGGAUACAAGGGGAGAUAAAGAUACUUGUGGAGAAGAUUGAAGAUUUGACAGGGAAGCUAGAAUUAUUCAUGGUAGACCCCGCGCCAAGUGGAGAUGAAGACGAUUCCACUUGUCCGGAGAACUACAUCAUCAUCGACGACACCGACUCAGACUCUGACGAUAGAGAUGAUGACUACGUUGAUGAAGCUGGAGCAGAUAUAAUGGAGUCCUCCAUCGAUCAAAACUUCUAGUCGACCACCAUAUCAACAGUAGUAUUUCCCAUGUACAUAGUAUAGUCCGAGCACUUUUGUAACGAUAGUUAGACUAUUUGUAUGCCCUUGUUUGAAUUGAUUGAAGUGAUAUGAUUGUGUUUGUCUCAUGUGCAUAUCGGUAGUGUUUUCUCUUUAGACCUCAUUCUAUUCUGUUUUCUCAUCUUUUCUAAACCCAUCAGAUGCGCGUGAGAUGUGACCCCGGAUUUUCUUUCCCACCGGAGCUCACUCAGUUGAUCUAGCAGCAGAAUACCCUGAUGCAGCUACUAGUCCAGAAUCAGAACCAGGGGAAGAACAACUACCCACCACCACCACCACUACCUGUUGAUCACUUAGCCCGUUUCUUAAGGCUAAAUCUGUCGGUGUUCUCUAGUAGCACCGAGCCGAUUGUUGCAGAUGAUUGGCUCCACAAGAUUGGAAGGGAGUUGACCACUGCAGGAUGCAUAGAUGUGGAGAGAGUGCGUUCUACCGCACAUCAGCUAGAUGGACCCGCAUCAUCAUGGUGGGAGAAUUUUAAAGUCACUUACCCCAUCGACACUGUCACAUGGGACUAGUUUCAGCAGGCUAUUCGCACCGCCCNNNNNNNNNNNNNNNNNNNNNNNNNNNNNNNNNNNNNNNNNNNCAGCAGGAGUUAUGGCCAUGAAGAAGCGUGAGUUUCGCAACUUGUGCCAAGGAGGACGCACAGUGGGCUAGUAUGUGGAGGAUUUUAGUAAGUUAGCACGUUAUGCCCCGGAUGACGUUGCUACAGAUGCCACUAAGAAGGAGAAGUUCCUGGAAGGACUAAAUGAUGAGCUAAGCAUGCAGUUGAUGGUGGCAACCUUCAACAACUACCAAGAGUUGGUAGAUAGAGCUCUCAUGAUUGAAGGGAAGCAGCAGCAGAUUGACAACUGCAGGAGGAAGUAUGGACAAGGGAAGUACAAAUCAGGAGCUCAGCAGAGGCCCCGUUUUACCCCGAACUCGGGAGGACACAUUCACCAUAACUGUUGUGGAUAUUAUCUGCCAUGUGACCCGCCCUAGUUGGGCCGGUCACCAAGUGGGCGACUCAUACUUUGGUGGUUCAAGGUUUGGCCUAGAAGGCCCAGGAGCUGGAUGGCGGUUCAAGAUCUACAUGGAGGAUAAGUCAUCAGGGAGUCUUCGAGUCUUGGAAAGCACGGCGAUUUAGAGAUUAAAGGAAUCACGACUUGUGUUAUGGCAAGGACUCUUGUAAACCCUAGGGCCUCGACCUGUAUAUAAAGGCGAGCCCCUGGAGAGGGGAGGUCAGGUUAGAAAUCAUCGAGAGCUAGGUCAGGCGAGUUACGCCCUCCUUGUAAUCGAAACAUCAUCAAUACAACACUAGAAGGACAUAGGCUUUUACCUCACCACGAGGGGCCGAACCUGGGUAAAACCGAGUCCCUCUUCCACUCAAACCCCUUUGAGUCGCCACCAAGGUGCGAUGGCUCCAUCAUUAAGUCCUUUCACUAGGACAUCUGCCGUGAGAAAACCACGACAGUUGGCGCCCAUCGUGGGGCCUACGCACGGUGGAGUUGAGUUCUCGUAGGGAGCCCUACCAGGGUCAGGGAGCUACGCGGUUGGGCUCAUGACCCGGAGGCGCCGCGGAAAGUACUACAUCGACAACUCGCUGUGGGAACCCGAGGCCGAUUCGAUCAAAUCCGGCUACAAAGUCCCCUUCGGCAAGGUCAACAUCUUCAUCGGCAUGGUCAGAGCACCCAUGCCCGAGCCGGACAUCUUCACUGACACCGUCGAGCCAGCCAGGUAUGUCCGUCCCGUCGUGCCACAAAGCCCGACGCACCCAGUUUCCGUCGGCUUAACGCAGGGAUCUGAUGAGCCAGAGCGGUCGGCGAAUCGGGAGGCCACACCAGUCAACUCUGACGAGGAGUCAUCCAUGGGCGACACAGAUUCGAUCCAGUCCCUGCAUGAAGGCCGCCUCAAAGAUCUGUCGCUGGCGAUGGAUCCUGAAGUCCUCGACCGGACCCGCCGUCAGAUCGCCAUAUACAUGGCGGGGGCAACACAGUCCCAGCAAAACCCUGCAGGCAAUAACGAGGCUGGCGGCCCAUCCAAAAGCCUAGCUGAGGUCCUGGUGGACCUGUCGCUGGAGAUAACGAGGCUCAUGGCAACCCCCGUGAUGGCAGAAAACCAGGGAACGAUCAACGCCGAGUUGGCAAAGCUGCGAGAUGAGAUGGCGAAGGCCUAGCGAGAUGCAGAGGCAGAAGCCGCCAGGAUUGCGACCCAGCAAGCUCAGAUCACCGUGGAGACGGCCCACUUAAACACUGAGAACUUGUGACUUGAAAGACAACAGCGCGUGUCCGACGCUGUCCAUCCGAGGAGGCACCAGGGGAGUUUGCCCCUGAUCUGAACCCUACCCGCCUUUUCAACACUCCGCGUACCCCCGGGACGGGAACCGUUCCAGAGGGAGGGCCGGCUCAGCCACCAAACCCACCGCCUCAGCCAGCGGAUGAUCGCGUACCCCGUUUCCAUACGCCUCAGGGCCACUUUUCCAACCCCAUGGACAAUGUGCUCGCAGCGACUCGCCACUUGGAGUCCCUUCCAAUUUAUGGAAACACCCCGACUGAAAUAGAAGCAAGAAAUGCCAUUGAGAUGUUGAAAACGGCGGUGGUCUAGAACGUGCAAUUCUCACACAGCCUCGACCGGCUGCACUCCACCCCCCAGACGAGCCGCACCAGAAGUCGGCCGGAGGACCCACCCGCCGUAACUAGCGGACUGCGGCACCUACCUCAGGGUAACCCGCCCGACCAUCGGGACCCUCCCGCCCGCAACACCGUUGGUGCGACGGGCCAGGAUCAUCAAGGCCAGAUCCAAACCCACCCAGCGUCACUCAGCGGAGGUGGCAGGCACGUCGGGGUGCCGUGUUUGUCCAUUGCCCUGCACAACAAGCGAAUGCCGAAGGACUUCAAAGGUCCAAGGAAGGUGCCCAACUACACCCCGGAUCUUGAGCCGGCAUUGUGGGUUGAGAGUUAUGACCUCGUGAUGGACAUGCUCGACGUGAGUGAAGCGGCCUGUACCAGGUACUUCACAAUGAUGCUGGAAGGAACGGUGCGCACUUGGUUGAAAAACCUGCCACCCAACUCCAUCCAGACUUGGGCUGAACUGAAGGAGCAUUUCAUCAAAAACUUUCGAGGAACUUGCAAAUGCCCAAUGACGAUCGUCGACUUACAUCAUUGCAUUUAGCGGCCUGACGAGUCGGCUCAUCAUUGGACGCGGCGGGUUGCAGAACUCAUCCACUCGUCGGACGGCAUCACGGCGGCCCAGGCCAUGCUAAUUCUAGAGCAAAACUGCCACUACGAGCCCCUCGUACAGAAGCUGGGGCGACUCAAGCGCAAGGUCCAGGAUAUGGGCGAAUUGAUGGAUACCCUCACUCGGUACGCUGAAGCGAACGAUACCAAAGAUCCAGGAGAGGACAGUAGGAAGGCCAACCCGCCAAGGAAAGGCGAGUCAUCCAAGAAUCACUCCCAGUUUCAAGGACGCGCCCACCAUAAUCAUGGUGGAAAUGGCAAGAGAAGGCAGCAGGAAGGACCCACGGACUUCGUCGCCAAUACGAACGCUAACAAUGGCAACCAGCGCCAGAAGAAGAUGGGUUACAGUGGCAAGAAGCCGCGCAAUUAUAACGAGAUACUUAAGGACCCCUGCCCGCAUCACACCAUGACAGAAGGACCAGCGACCCACUCUUGGGAAGACUGCUACGUGAUGUAGGAAUUUCGGGCGGAGGCACUCAAGAAAGGCCAAGCCGGCGACCAGAGCCAACGGCAGGAACAGUUCGGUGCGCCUAAUCAACGUCAGAACCCGUUUGGCGGCUUUCCCAAACCAGGACCCCAGGGUGGCUCGCAACCAAGGAGUGGCCAGUUCCCGGUGCAUAACCAGCAGUGGUAUAACCCGCCCGGAGUGUUUCAGAAGCCACCCCCGCAGGGGGCUCCCAAGGGCAAGAUAAUAAUGGCGGAUUCCGCAGCAAUCCCAAGCAAUUAAACAGCGGACAAUACCAUGUAUUCACCACCAGUGCCUGUAAGCGAGACAAGAAGGUGAAGCACAGGACAUAUAGCGUGUCCGAGCCGGCGCUCUCCAGGUACCUCCAUUGGUGUGAGCAAACUAUCUCUUGGAGUAGGGAGGAUCACCCGCCCAGAAUUGACAACCCCGGUGACUUGGCAUUGGUCGUGGCCCCCCAAGUCGGGGGAUAUACCCUUUCAAAGGUUCUUAUGGAUGGUGGCAGCAGCAUCAACAUAUUAUAUUUCAACACCUUUCGAAGGAUGAACCUCUUGCAGAAGGACCUAAUCCCGUCAACCACGGUUUUCCAUGGUAUCGUUCCGUAUAAGUCGGCAUACCCAAUUGGGCGAGUCAAACUUAACGAGGCUUUUGGUACAACAUCCAAUUACAGGAGCGAGUCGCUUAUAUUUGAGGUGGUCAAGCUGAAGAGCCCUUAUCAUGCAUUGUUCGGGCGGCCGACUUACGCCUGGUUCAUGGCUCGCCCCUGCUAUGUCUACCUUAAACUCAAGAUGCCUGGCCCUAAGGGACCCAUCACGGUCGAUGGUGACAGGAGGAUAGCAAAGGAGUGUGAGGAAGGAGAUGCGGCUUACGCAGAAAUCGCUUGCGCCGCGGAAGAGCUCAAGUAUCACCAAGCCAAUGUUGACCUGUCGGAUAUGUCGCCUCUCAAGAAGCCAACAACUGAUGUUGAGCCGCUCCUCAAGUUUAAGCCGACGGAUGACACUAAGAUGGUGGACUUCACUCCUGGCGACUCGUCCAAGCAGUUCACUAUCGGGGCGGGUCUGGAUCCCAAAUAGGAAAGCGCGCUCAUCGAAUUCAUCAGUGAGAAUCGGGACAUCUUCGCAUGGAAACCUUCUGACAUGCCUGGUGUACCGAGAGAAUUCGCUGAGCACCAUCUUAAUGUUGACCCUAAAGCAAAGACGAUUCAGCAAUAUCUUCGCAGAUUUAAUGAGGAGCGACGCAAGGCGAUCGGAGAAGAAGUCGCCCGUCUUUUGGCCGCCGGAUUCAUCAUUGAGGUCUUCCACCCUAGAUGGUUGGCUAACCCGGUCCUGGUGCUCAAGAAGAACGACACUUUUCGCAUGUGCUUCGACUACACCGACCUCAACAAAGCUUGCCCAAAAUAUCCUUUCGCCCUUCCCCUCAUUCAUCAAAUCAUUGACUCGGUUGCGGGAUGCGAGCGUUUGUGUUUCUUGGACGCCUACUCCGGAUAUCACCAGAUCAAGAUAGCUGUGGAAGAUCACGAGAAGACGGCCUUCAUAACCCCAUUUGGGGCUUUUUCCUAUGUAUCCAUGCCGUUUGGGCUCAAGAGCGCUGGGGCGACUUACCAGCGUUGUAUCCAAAAGUGUCUCCACGGCCAAAUCGGACGCAACGUCCAUGCUUACGUUGAUGACAUCAUCGUUAAAUCUCGCAAGAAGGAGACGCUCUUGGAGGAUCUCAAGGAAACCUUUGACAAUCUGCUUGUGUAUCAGAUGAAGCUUAAUCCCACCAAAUGUGUCUUUGGUGUUCCUACAGGAAAGCUUUUAGGUUUUCUGGUGUCAGAACGCGGCAUUGAGGCCAACCCGUACAAAAUCGAAGCAAUCACCUCGCUUGGGAAACUAGCGAAUAUUAAUCAAGUCCAACGCAUGGCAGGUCGUAUUGCGGCCUUGAGUCGCUUUAUAAGCUGCCUGGGGGAGAAAGCCAUUCCCCUCUAUCAGUUGCUUAAGAAAGCUGAUCGGUUUGUUUGGACGGACGAGGCCAACAAAGCUUUUGAAGCCCUGAAGCAGCAACUGGUCAACCCACCGGUUCUGGCCGCCCUGACUGAAAAGGAGCCUAUGCUUUUGUACAUCGCGACGAAUACCAAGACGGUGAGCAUGGCAGUGGUUGUUCAACAGAAGGAAGAAGGAAAGGAAUACCCGGUACAACGCUCGGUGUAUUUUAUCAGCGAGGUUCUAAUCCUCUCCAAACAACGUUAUCCACAUUGGCAGAAGUUGGUUUAUGGGAUGUUUAUGGUGAGUCAGAAGCUAAAACAUUGUUUACAAGAAUAUCCUAUCAUGGUGGUUAGCUCCGCUCCUCUUGGGGAUAUCAUCCAGAACCGAGAAGCAACGGGACGAAUCGCCAAGUGGGAAUUGAGCUCGGGCCACACCACGUGCGGUAUACGCCUCGCACGGCUAUCAAGUCCCAGGCAUUGGUCGAUUUCAUCAAUGAUUGGACUGAGUUACAGAUUCCCGAAGACAGGCUUGAUCUCACGUACUGGACCAUCUACUUUGACGGGUCUAGGCAAUUGGAGGGCUCGGGGGCUGGCGUGGUGAUGAUUUCACCCUAGGGAGACAAGUUCUGUUAUGUUCUCCAACUCAUGUUCCCGUGUACCAAUAACGCUGCAGAGUACGAAGCCCUACUUCAUGGUUUGGACUAGCCAAUGAGAUGAACCUCACACGCGUCAGCUGCUUGGGCGAUUCCGAUCUGGUGGCACAACAAGCUUCAUGUACAUGGGAUUCCCGGGACCCCCUAAUGGUGGCACAACAAGUUUCAGGUACAUGGGAUUUCCAUGGUUAUCAAGUCGAUCAUAUCGACUGGCGACUUAAUGAAGCAGCUGAUGCCCUCUCGCGUCUCGGCUCGCAACGUAAGCCGGUUCCUCCUAAUGUCUUUGUGGAUAUUCUGCAUAAUCCUUCUGUGAGGUUGCCUUCAGAAGAGGAACUGGCGAUACCAGAUCCCGAGUCUCAGUUUGUGGCAGCUCUACGUGCUAUGCCGGAUUGGGUUCUUCCUUACUUGGCGUACCUCACGGGAGGCGAGUUACCUUCGGAUGAGGUGUUGGCCCAUCAAAUCGUUCGUCGGAGCAAGUCCAUUGUCGUCAUCAACGGCGAGUUAUACAAACUAAGUACUUCUGGGGUAUUUCAAAGAUGCGUUUCUUCUGAUGAAGGGUGCAUAAUUCUCAACGAGAUCCAUGCAGGAGAUUGCGGGCAUCACGCCGGGUCACGUUCCCUGGUUUCCAAGGAGUUCCGGCAUGGGUUCUUUUGGUUGACGGCUCAUGCGGAUGCAGAAGAGAUAGUUCGUCAAUGUGAUGGCUGUCAAUGUUUUGGACAACAGGUUCAUGUGCUGGCUCAAUAAUUAAGGAUGAUCCCCAUCACUUGGCCUUUUGCGGUCUGGGGGUUAGAUAUGGUUGGUCCCUUUAAGAUGUCAUCCAAUAAAAAGACUCAUCUACUGGUGGCGGUCGAUAAAUUCACCAAGUGGGUCGAAGCAGAGCCUGUUGGCAGCUGUGACGCGGAAACGGCCAUCAAAUUCUUGAAAAAAUUGAUAUCCCGGUUUGGAUACCCACACAGCAUUAUCACUGAUAAAGGUACCAACUUAUCACAAGGGGCGAUGCAGGAGUUUUGCAACCGGGAGCAUAUUCGGCUUGAUGUGUUUGCGGUUGCUCGUCCACAAUCUAAUGGGCAGGCAGAACGGGCGAAUCAGGAAGUGCUGCGGGGAAUCAAACCCCGACUUAUGUUUCCCCUGGAACGCACCCCAGGGUGUUGGGUUGAGGAGUUGCCUUCGGUAUUAUGGAGCAUUCGAACCACCCCGAAUCGUUCUAUGGGUUUUACUCCUUUCUUCUUGGUAUACGGAGUAGAAGCCGUUCUUCCCGGUGACAUUAGGCAUGACUCGCCCCGAGUCGCCGCUUAUGUGGAGUAGGAUAAUGAGUUGGCACAUCAAGAUUCUUUGGAUGCUUUGGAGGAAGCACGCGAGUUGGCUGCCUCCCGAUCGACUAUCUAUCAGCAAGACUUGCGGCGUUAUAAUAGCCUCCGGGUCAAGAGCCGAGCUUUUCAAGAGGGCGACUUAGUGCUCCGGUUGAUCCAAGAUCGCACUAGCAUGCAUAAGUUGUCACCGCCAUGGGAAGGACCGUUUGUCAUCAACAAAAAUCUUCGCAAUGGGUCAUACUAUUUGGUGGAUCUUCGGCCUGAUCGGCCAACGACGGAGGCUAAGUCAACUCGCCCCUGGAACAUAGCCCAUGUGCGGCCUUACUACACUUGAGCUAUUGGCUCCCCUUUUUCCUUUCUCUCCCAUCUUUGGAAAUUGUAAGUCCUUUGUUUAUAUAAAGCAAUAAAGUCGAUACCCACGAAUUUUGGGUUUUCCUGCCACUUCAUCUUCUUGAAAGCAUGGAUCUUUAUUGUCCUUCAACAAGUCACCCAAGCAUGGACGCUAUCAAUACCAGAGAGCAUAAGUCGCCAUGCUGCACUUAUUACAACACUGGGUAUCGAUAAGCCAAAGAGGAUCAAGUCGCUACAAGCGCACGAUUCAAACAUGGGCACCUUAUAUGAUUCUUAGGAUUAGGCCGGCUUACUUGGGGGCUAUCAGCUCCCAAGUCGUUUUGUGGUAAGAGCGUAUACGCUUCUACAAUCCUAUGACCAGUCUUUCCCCUAAUCAUAGGUCACUUGGGGGCUUCCUCUCACUGAGAUCAGCCUAACUACCCAUUUGGCUAGCGAAAAAUUACCGCACUAAAAAUGGUUAUACUGGACUGUGUGUUGGCCAAAUCGCCAUAUGGAACCAUGAACUCUUGGCGAGUCAAUCCGCUAUUUGGACCCUGAACUCACCUUGGUUAAAAUAUGCAUGGUACCGGCUAGUGCCCCACAUGGAAAAUAGAGAAACCAUUGGUUCAUUGAACCUGCUUCACCGAAGCUUGACUCGCGCCUGAUCAGCCGGUCUAAAUACUUGAUCUUUUUUGCACAAAAACUCUCCUUUGGGUAGCACUUGAGUUUUUCUAACUCGUCCUAUCCUGUCGCGAGUUGAACGAGCCAACGAAAUUCUUACUAUCACCUUCCUGGCACUGCCAUAAGGUUUCACAGAUCUAUGAGACUCGCCGUGUCUCGUUGAGCCGGGUUUCUUCAUACAAUUUGCCAAGACACCUUGAGUCGGUUAUUAUUUAUCAUCAUCCAUUACUCAUUGAGAUGGUUUGAUAUAUGCUUUUGCUAGCCAAACAGGUUGGUGAUCGAAUCUUUACUGACAUGGCGGGUCAAGCAUCAUGGCACUCCAAGGGCGGCACAAGGUUUUUUCAAAGGUCACAGAAGAGUUCCACAACAGACAUAAGCAAAGGAUUGUUUUCUACAAUGACCUAUUACAUGGCUCAGAUGGCCAAAUCAGUAGGGUCUAUUCUGCUGGUGCCUCCGGGUCAACUUGCCUCGAGCUGUGGCCGACUUCAAGUUGUAAAUCGCGAAGUACCCAAUUACACUUGGAUAGAGCGGCAAAUUCGUCUUCAUCGUUCANNNNNNNNNNNNNNNNNNNNNNNNNNNNNNNNNNNNNNNNNNNNNNNNNNNAGAUCCGACUCCAAAUCAAAAGGUUCUUGGAUCGACGAGGAGUUAAGCUGGUUGUCACAAAUGCAGGCGGGUUUACUUUCUUGUUCUUGUCAUCAUAAGUGGCUUGGUACUUUGAUAAAUCCAAACUUGCUGCUAGCUGAGUCGCCGCCGAGCGUGAUUCCUUGACGACGCAAUGAUAAUCAUCUUGAGUAAACUCUGACUCGUCAUCCUUGAGCUGUGGGAAGCCUGCUGCUACCUCUUCGGGCUUCAGUUCUGGAGCAUACGCCAAACACCGACACAAGGUAGCCAGCGCCCCUUCCGGGCGGCUGAUCGGGUUAGCUCACCUAUCUGAGGCGGAAGGGUGGAUAAGCAUCCAAGCAUCUUUUUGAUUCAUGUGAUUGGUUCCUUGGUGCCCAUCACUGCCUUCAUGAUCAGCAUGCUCCCAGUACACAGCUGCUCAGUCAGUGUGUAAAUCGCCUUUAACUUCAAGAUGCAGUCGUCCUGAAGGUUGGCGGCUCUCGGGCCUGCGUGAGAAAGACAAAUGAUGGUUCGUACUUUGUUUUUUUCACACUAAUUUUUUAUUUUAGAGAUACGAAACCAGGAAUUCCUUCUUACCAAAGAUGGUCCGUGUCAUGCUGGAAAUAUGUUUCUUUAAACCGGCCAGUUCUUGUUGCAUCGCUCCCAAUUUUGUUUCAGUCGUUUCAGCUCGCUUUAGCGUGGUGGCUUGAUCAACUUGAGAUUUCUUGUCGGCGGCUUUCAGCUUUUCCAUAUUAGCUAAGAUUUCCUGUUAUUUUUCUUCUGCUUGAGCCCGCGCGUCUUGCUGGUCGGCUAAACUUUUCUUUAAGUCGCCCAACGUUGACUCGGCUUGGGCUAUAGAUUCCUGUCAACAUAUUUUGGAGGGACAAGUCUCAGAAUUGUUGCAAGCAACAUCCCUGACACUUGGGGGCUAAUGUAUAAUUUAAAAAAAAAACAAAAUUAUACCACAAGCAAGACCCGACUCAUCUUUCAAUAGAUGACCCGACCCUUGGGGGUUACGGGUCAAAGAUUUUUUAUACAUCAAGACCCGGAUCAUCUUUCAAAAGAUAACCCGGCCCUUGGGGGUUACAGGUCGAAGAUUUUUUCUACAUCAAGACCCGGCUCAUCUUUCAAAAUAUGACGGGGGUUAUAGGUCGAAGAUUUUUUCUAAGUCAAGACCUGGCUCAUCUUUCAAAAGAUGACCCGACCCUUAUGGGUUACAGGUCGGAAGAUUUUCUAACGCAAGACCCGGCUCAUCUUUCAAUAAGAUGACCCGGGCCUUGGGGGCUAAUGAGGAGGGUAUGCAUUAAGGCGUACCUCAUGUUUAUUCUUCAUCAUAUGGAGUAGGUUCUUCUCCAUUUCAUAACUUGUUUCUAGGCGACUUGCGAAGCCGGAGCAGAGUUCAUCAAACUCAAGUUUUUCAUAUUGAGGAAGUUUGGCCUUGGAGAUCUCAUGUCUGGUGGAAGGAUGGGACGAUGUUGAUACAUGCUGUGAUAAGAUUGCUGAAGCCGGCUUAGAGAAGACAGUACUAGUAAUGACCACAACAUCAGGAUCUUCAGCCGCCUUCAACGGACUUGGCGGGUUGGUUGUUUCCAUGCCUUCCUUGGGAGAACUUGGAAGGUCAAUUCGGUCAUCAGUAUAUCUUUUGUCGGGUCAACAUGAGCCGGUGCUGGGUCUUCUUUAAGCUGUGGGGCAGAAGGAGUGGAAGUUGGGCCGCCGGUUUUCCUCUUCUUUGCUUGCGCUCUAAGAAAAAUAGGGUCAUGUUUAAAGCAAGCAUCAUUAUCAUCAGGAAAGACAUAAGUAUUAUAAGGACUUACCAUUGUACGCGAAUCAUUGGCGGAAGGGCCGACAUCACUGAGUAGCCCGAUGAAGGGGGGAAAGUCUGCAAAAGUAAUAUCUCAAAAUAUGAGCGAGUUACAAGUGUGAUCCAAUAGAAAACAAAGGUAGAAAUUGAUAGAGGGUACCUCCUUUCGCCGUUUCUUGGUAGGGGUUUUUAUUGGUAACCCGAACAUCAAAUCCACUGAGUGGCUUCGAGUUUUCCGAAAGGAAGUGUGUUGCGACUUCUUCAAGAGGAAAUUAGGGUCUAGACAAGCAUUCGGGUGAGACAUGGGAACUUUCCCACAAACUCGCCUGGCCGACUUAGGCGAAGGAGAAGUUGAGUCGGAAGAAAUGGAAAUUACCUCUACGGCGUCAUCCUGGCUUUCGUUAUCAUCAUUCUAUACAUGGAAAUGCAGAGAUAUAAGCACAAAUUAGAGUAAAAGUGCGUCAAGACAAAAAGGAUAAAAUUUUACCUCUGAAGACGCUUCGCCGACUUGGGAUUCGUCCACAUCAGACGAUUUGGCGACAGCGGCUUGGUUUUUACCCUUGGACUUCUUUUUAGGAGGCGAUUUGGUUUGCUUCAGGGCAAGCUUCUUCGGCCUUCGUGACCAGAAUCGGUCGCCCUUCUGAGGUGGAAUUAUCAUUAUGCAAGUCAGAAUCCGGGUAAGUUGNNNNNNNNNNNNNNNNNNNNNNNNNNNNNNNNNNNAAAGAGUGAACCAAGGGCGGGCCAAAUUAUUUACCUUAGGAGCCGGGUUAAUCUUGCAAAAUGGCCUAAGCCCUAUUUGGCUACAUUUGGCCAAAGGCUCGCCGGUUUGCUUCUUGAUGAUGCUCACAAUGUCUUCCUCUGUGAGUGCUAUGUGGAAGUAGCAUUGAGGAUGGUUCAAAGUACCAGCAAACUUGCACAUCAAGCCGUCUAGGCGACUCAAGGGAAGGAUGUGCCAUUCCACCCAGCAGCGGAUCAGAUCAACUCCAGUAAGACCAAUGUUUGUUAAAGAUCGUAACUCGGAUAGCACUCGAAUGAAAUCUGAUUCAUCUUCUUCGGUGAGCUUGUCAGGAAGUUUGAAGUUUGUGGGCAGACGCUCCUUCCUGUAGCCUAGGAGUUUGUUCUCACCCAGAGGAGAAGUGUCCCGAUAAUAAAACCAAGACUCGGCCCAGCCUUUGGGGUGGCUGGGCAUGGCGAGUGAUGGGAAUGGACUGUCCUUGCGUUGUUGAACAUUAACCCCUCCAAGUUCUAAGCUAGGGCCAUUGGAGAACUCGGUCUGGCGAUUCAGGUGGAAGAAAUACCAAAACAAAGUGACCGACGGUUCCAUUCGUAGGUAAGCUUCACAGAAUACCUGGAAUUAGCACAUGUUGCUGAUCGAGUUGGGGCCCAGGUCUUGUAGGCAGAUGUUCAUAAAAAACAUAGCAUCUCUGAGGAACUUUGACCCUGGCUGCUAAAACCCUCGUUCGAGGUGGUCAGCAUAAACAACUAUUUCCCCUUCGGCCGAGUUGGGAAUUUCGUCGCCUAGUCCAGAUCGUCAUCCAAUGACUUCCUACGGGUCAAGGUUCCAUGUAUUUACGCACUGCUCGAGGAAGGUGUCGUCAAUUUUGGUCGGGAGCCAGUCGGCCUUAAAAACGGUACCCAUAGCUACAGAGGAAAAGGUCAUGGGUAAGUUAACCCGCCAAAACGCUUGUCGAGUGGUUGGGAGAAUCUAUUAACUGGCCAACAAGGGACCAGGUUUGGGCACGAGGGCGAUUUAGGAAUUUCCCAUUACUCACAGGAGGUACCUCAGGGCAUCAAAAACAUGCAGAAAAAUGACGAGGCAUGAAUCUACAAACAGUCUUCUACAUAGCAAGCAAUGCAACGGGGAUGUGCGAGCAAGGUAAAAUAACGGAGAAAACCUGGAUAAAGUGAAACAGAUCACGGUUGAAAGCAACUACGGCAGGGGUGAUUUAACCAAAGCCCUCUUGGUUCUCUAAACCGAAAUUAAAUGGAUUGGAGAUGUGGUCGGUGCUAAUAUGCUAAGCUACCACAUUGGAUCGAUUGGCAAACGCCGAGGAGUUCAAGGAGUUCUAGGGCGCAGCGAAUGGCGAACGUUGAAAGGCUCGGAUCUGUUCGUAAUGGUGGAAGACUAACCUGUUAAACAACGUCCGGAGGCGAUUGUACAGACCCGCGGUGGAGAUGGUGUGCCCGUUUAGCUCGACGAUGCGACGGACGCAGUGGCCGACGGCGGAGACCCUCGGGCGACGAUGGAGCUCGUCGGGCGGCGGCGGAGUUCCUUGUGUGGCUUCGAGGAAGAAGAAGAAACAGAAGAAGAAUGGGCAAAGAUUCCCUCUGCCCCCAUUCUCGAGCCUAUUUAAUAGGUCAGGUGCGGGGAUCAAGGCGCCUCGCGCAGGAACCGAAGGGGGCAAAUUAAAGAUUCGCACUUAUGGCUCCAAUAUUUUCGGGAUAUUUGCGCCGAGAGAUCCGUUGGGGAUUGCGUCAUCAUUUUCUGGAAUUAAAGGGAUAAGGUGACGUCACCGUAAACGGUUCGGCGACUUGGGUAUUUCCAUGGUGGAUGGCGGCUUAAGCGUAUGGUGCACGAGAAAGGUGGAAUGAGUCGUUCCUAAAGUAGGUAAAAGUUUAUUGGCGUGAACAGGUUCAAGUCAAUAUGGGGCCUAAUGNNNNNNNNNNNNNNNNNNNNNNNNNNNNNNNNNNNNNNNNNNNNNNNNNNNNNNNNNNNNNNNNNNNNNNNNNNNNNNNNNNNNNNNNNNNNNNNNNNNNUAAGUCAUCAGGGAGUCUUCGAGUCUUGGAAAGCACGGCGAUUUAGAAACUAAAGGAAUCACGACUUGUGUUAUGGCAAGGACUCUUGUAAACCCUAGGGCCUCGACCUGUAUAUAAAGGCGAGCCCCUGGAGAGGGGAGGUCAGGUUAGAAAUCAUCGAGAGCUAGGUCAGGCGAGUUACGCCCUCCUUGUAAUCGAAACAUCAUCAAUACAACACUAGAAGGACAUAGGCUUUUACCUCACCACGAGGGGCCGAACCUGGGUAAAACCGAGUCCCUCUUCCACUCAAACCCCUUUGAGUCGCCACCAAGGUGCGAUGGCUCCAUCAUUAAGUCCUUUCACUAGGAAAUCUGCCGUGAGAAAACCACGACAAUAACCAUGGAGGCCAUCAUUCCAAUGGAGGGAGUUUGCAUAAUCAUAAUGGCCCCAAGAAUGGGAAUGGGAAUGGAGGAAGCAACGGACAGAACCGUUCCAACCCAGCAACGCCCGCCAAGAAGGAUCUAAGUCACAUUAGUUGUUUUUAGUGCGGGAAUAAUGGACAUUACGCCAUGGAGUGUCCUAAAGCAAAGAAUGGAAAUGGCAAUGGAAGCUCUGGGAAUAAGCCCAACCCUUUCAACAGGGGACAAGUGAACCAUGCUAGCAUGGAGGAGGUUGAAGCGCAACCCGAUUCAGUACUAGGUAAGUUUUUGGUUAGGUCAUUUACUGCAAUCGUUCUUUUCGAUACUGGAUAAGUAUAACCUGCCAACCCAAGCCCUUAGGUCACCCAUGUUAGUAACCUCGCCAGGAGCAGAGUACAUGGCUAGCCUAUGGUGUGAUCUGUUACCAUUAAGGAUUGGUAACUACGUGUUCCCCUCAGACCUAAUAGUAUUGGAGUCACAAGGACUGGAUGUAAUAUUAGGUAUGCAUUGGUUAUUGAAGUAUGGAGGGAACAUUGACUGCGCCAGUAAGUCGAUUUUUCUCACCAGCCCAGAAGGAAGAAGGAUUAAGUAUGUAUCCCGGCAUGUGCCGAAGAGAACUCUAGUAAAUUCCUUAUCAGGAGUUGUACAGGAGGAAGUACUAGUGGUGAAGGAUUUCCCUGAUGUAUUCCCAAAGGAGUUGCCAGGCAUGCCACCAGACAGAGACAUUGAGUUUUUGAUUGAGCUUUUGCCAGGCACAGGGCCAAUAUCUAAGAGACCGUAUCGGAUGCCCGCAAAGGAUUCGGAAACAAUUAAGAAAUAGAUUAAGGAGUUACUGGAUAGAGGCUAUAUUCGCCCAAGUUCGUCACCUUGGGGAUCACAAGUGCUUCUAGUGGAGAACAAGGAUGGAUCGUUGAGAAUGGUAGUGGAUUAUCGAGGAUUGAAUGAAGUGGAAAUGAAGAACAAGUAUCCACUGCAAAUGAUCAAUGAUUUGUUUGACCAAUUGCAAGGAGCUAAAUUAUUCUUCAAGAUCGAUCUGCGAUCACGAUACCACCAGCUAAAGGUUUGAGAGCAGGAUAUACCUAAGACAGCUUUUACCACAAGGUAUGGGCUAUAUGAGUAUACCGUUAUGUCAUUUGGUCUCACUAACGCACCUGCCUAUUUCAUGAACAUGAUGAACAAGGUGUUUAUGGAGUUUUUGGAUAAGUUCGUCGUGGUGUUCAUUGAUGAUAUUCUGGUCUACUCGAAGAAUGAAGAGGAGCAUAAGGAGCAUUUGUGUUUGGUACAUGGGAAACUCCGAGAACAUCAGUUAUAUGCGAAGUUCAGCAAGUGUUAGUUUUGGUUGAAGGAAGUUGGUUUCCUUGGACAUGUUAUAUCCGAAGAAGGAAUAGCAGUAGACCCCACCAAAGUUGUCACAGUGACUAAUUGGGAACCACCCACGUCAGUUGGAGAGAUCUGGAGUUUUCUUGGACUCGCAGGAUACUACCGGAGAUUCAUUGAGAAUUUCUCUAAGAUUGCAAAGCCCAUGACGGAGUUGUUGAAGGACACCAAGUUCAAAUGGACUGAGGAAUGUGAAGCCGGUUUUCGGGAGUUGAAGAAACGCUUGGUUACAGCCCCACUGCUGAUUCUCCCCGAUCAACGCAAGGAUUAUCAAGUGUAUUGCGACGCUUCUCGUCGAGGACUUGGAGCAGUGUUGAUGCAGGAGGGAAGAGUUGUUUCGGAUGCCUCAGGACAGCUUAAACCCCAUGAGUUGAACUAUGCUACCCAUGAUUUGGAGUUAGCAGCCGUAGUGCAUGUGUUGAAAAAGUGGAGACAUUUUCUCACCGGAAACCACUGUGAGGUGUACACAAAUCACAAGAGUUUGAAGUAUACUUUCACACAGAAGGAGUUGAAUCUUAGACCAAGGAGAUGUUUGGAGCUCAUCAAGGAUUUUGAUAUGAGGUUGCACUAUCAUCUCGGAAAGCCUAAUGUAGUAGUCGAUGCGUUGAGUCGCAAAAGUCAUGUCAAUACACUCAUGACCAGAGGAUUACCUGAGGAGUUAGCAGAAGAUCUUCGCGAGCUAUGGUUGGAAAUAGUUUCGAGAGGUUAUGUACUAGCAUUGGAGAUUCAGUCUACCCUGAUGGAUAAGAUUAGAGAAGCCCAGAAGACUGACAAAGAGAUUGCCAAGAUAAAGGAAAGGAUGAGCAAAGGAAAGGCUAAAGGAUUUCGUGAGGAUGAGCACGAUACCUUAUGGUUGAGGAUCGCGUAUAUGUGCCUAAUGACCCCGAGAUCAGGAAGUUGAUUCUGCAGGAGGCCCACGAUUCACCGUAUUCGAUUCACCCAGGAAAUACCAAGAUGUAUCUGAAUUUGAAGGACAGUUUCUGGUGGACCGGAAUGAAGAACGAUAUUGCGGAGUAUGUAGCAGUUUGUGAUGUAUUUCAGAGAGUGAAGGCGGAGCAUCAGAAGCCAGCAGGUUUGCUACAACCAUUGCAGAUACCCGAAUGGAAGUGGGACAACCUAGGAAUGGAUUUUAUAACGGGAUUGCCCAGGACUCGUUCAGGCUAUGACUCGAUUUGGGUUAUAGUCGAUCGUUUGACGAAGGUAGCUCAUUUCAUCCCAGUAAAGACCGCUUACACCAGUGCUAAGUUGGCAAAGAUAUACAUGACCAGGAUCGUAUGUCUGCAUGGAGUUCCGAGGACCAUUAUAUCAGAUAGAGGAACCCAGUUUACCUCAUAGUUCUAGAAUCAGUUGCAUGAAACGUUGGGUACCAGGCUAGAGUUUAGUACAACCUUUCAGCCUAAGACAUAUGGACAGACCGGGAGAGUCAAUCAGAUUUUAGAGGACUUGUUGAGAGCUUGUGCGCUAGAUUAUGGAUCUAGUUGGGACGACAAUUUGCCGUAUGCAGAGGUAUCUUACAAUAAUAGCUAUCAAGCCAGUUUGAAGUUGGCCCCUAUCGAAGCCUUGUACGGAAGGAGGUGCAGGAUACCGUUGUUAUGGGAUGAAGUUGGAGACCAUCAGUUGUUUGGACGGGAUUUGAUUAAGGAGUCUGAAGAGAAGGUUAAGUUUAUUCGCGAUAGACUCAAGGUAGCCUAGUCCAAGCAGAAGAGUUAUGCGAAUUCAAAACGCAACGAGACAAUUCAUGAAGUUGGAGACAAAGUUUAUCUUUGUGUGUCCCCACUUCGAGGUGUUAAGCAUUUUGGAGUUAAGGGAAAGUUAUCACCAUGUUUUGUGGGACCAUAUAUAGUUUUGGAGCGUAUGGGAGAAGUUGUUUAUAGGUUGGAAUUGCGAGAAGGAUUGUCAGGAGUUCCUGAUGUGUUCCAUGUUUCCCAGUUGAAGAAGUGCCACACAGAUAUGGCCAAUAUUCCUGUAAGAGAUACAGUGCCACUGGAAGCGAUUUAGUUGGAUAGCGAUUUAACUUACGAGGAGAAACCAUUGAAGAUUCUCGAGUUUGCCAGCCGAGUCACACGCAUCAAGGUUAUCAAGUUCUGCAAAGUUCAAUGGAGCCACCAUACCGAGGAUGAAGCCACCUGGGAAUGAGAAGAAGACCUACGGUAGGAUCACCCACACCUAUUCUCUAGCCAACCCGAAUCUCAAGGGCGAGAUUCAUCUGAAGGGGGUAGGUUUGUAACAUCCCGAAUUUUCAAUUUGGAAUGUUAUGCAUUAGAUCAUCAUUGCAUAUCAUAUUUUAUUGCAUUCUUGGUUGAUCCUAGAAAUUCUACGCAACUCAAGGACCCACGGAGAGUGUUGGGGAAUUUUCUAUUUUCAUAAUUGAGUUUUCCCAAAUUUUGAAAAGAGGAUCAUUCGGUUUUAAUUAUUUUCUCUUCAAAUAUUUCUAAAUAUAAAAUAAAACAGAGGGGAUAAAAUGACUUCCCCCAAAGAAAGAAAUAUUGGUGGAAAAAUAUUAAAAUCAAAUAGGAAUUUUAUUCAGAGUUUUAUUGCUAUUUUAUUUCAAUUAGAAAAAAUCCGUUUUUCAAAAUUGCAUUAGAGGCCCCAAUAAAUGUUCACCUUGUUCGUCAUAUUUUUAGAGGACGGGGAAAAUUUAUUUCAAGACUUUUGGAGUCUGUUUGAUAUUUCUUUUUAUUUAUCUUCUCCGCAUCGGAAUUAUUUAAAAAAAAGUCAAACCAUUUAAACGGGCCAUGUCCGACCGGGACUCUAUCCCGUCGGCCUUUAUAAGCCCAGCCGAGGCGCCCCGGAAACCCUCGUCGCCGCGCCGCUCAGCCGCGCCGCCGCCGCGCCGCCCAGCCGCCUCGCCGCCGUGCCGCCUCGCCGCCCCAUCGCCGACCCCGCCCUGAGGUAACCGGGUUUUUUAAAUAAAACCCUAGAUUUAUUUUUAGAUCAGUUUUAUUAUUUUAUUUCCGGUUUAUUUAAUUAGCGUACGUUCGUCUGUACGUUCGUUUUAACGAACGAUGUUCAUCCGUUAGCCGCAGACAGCGAACGUUCGUUCGUUAGCCUGUUUGUCAGUUUUUAUUUUUCCAUGGAUUUUCCACGAUUAUUUCUGAUCGCGAUUUCUGGACUGAUUUUCGUUUUAGUUUAUCUUUUCGCUCGUUUAUCGGAAUCAGGUGGUUCAAACGCCCAGAUCUUUUUCUCGAAACCCUCUUUCUGUUUAACCAACUUGAACAAGAUUUUUGUACUGUAAAAGUUGACUCUAGUCCAAAUUAGUAAACAAACUUGUUUCUUUCGCAGUUUGAGUUUCGCUGCUUCAUUUGUUUUGAUUCUUUUUGCAAACCGGAGUUCUUCAGUUGAACUUUCUGGUUAGAUCUCUUAUCUGAGUUUUCCCCGUGCAUCUAGUUUGAGUGCUUAUGUAUGUUAUUGUUUGUUUACGAUAGAGUACCCGGAGUGCGAAGCGUGCUACUAGUCUCUAGGUUUUGUGGAUCAUCAGCAAGGCAACUAACCCUUUGAUCAUACCUCUUUACUACCAAGUUUUAUUGCAUCAGAUCAACCCUCAACAUUGCAUGGUUAGGAUAUGAUUAACAUGUGGGUUUUGGGAAGUAGAUGAUGAGGUAGAACCUAUUGUCCUGUUUAUUAUCAAAUCUUUGGGAGUUACUUCUACGAUUUGCUUAUUGCUAUGCUAUGCUCGUUGACGUGGAUUGGGUGAGUGUAUCCAUGACAGAUGUGAGUAUUGUUAAUUAAUUGUUCACUUAAGGUGGCUACUUGAAUACACAUCUGGGUGGAUUGCUUGAGGCACCUUGGGGUACCCAGUGGUCGUCAGGGCACCUGGAGAAAUCCAGUGUUGUCCUAGGAUAUCACGGAGUAACCGUGUGAUCAUCCUACGGUCCGGCACACAGGCUCAAACGAAUCAUAAGAUUAUUCAUUCUAGAAACUUCCGUGGGCAGCCACAAGCCAUUAUGGGCUCUGGCAUAGUUGAGUAAGUUGCGUGAAGCUCUUGAAGCGGUAGACUAGCAGAUGUAGUGGGUUGUAGGUGGUACGGUCUACCGAGAGUAGAGAGUUAAUGCUUCAGAAAGACUAUGUCUUGAAUCUCUGACCAUGGAUGUAUUCGAGUCUUGUGGGAAAAGUGUGCAAACCUCUGCAGAGUGUAGAAACUAAUCAUCGUUAGCCGUGUCCCCGAUUAUAGACAUCUUGAGUAUCUGGUUCCUGGAUUAUCAUGUUGAUCUCAUCACUCUAAAUAAAUUUGUUGGGUUUAAUGAUGAUGCUUAAUUGGGAUUGAGNNNNNNNNNNNNNNNNNNNNNNNNNNNNNNNNNNNNNNNNNNNNNNNNNNNNNNNNNNNNNNNNNNNNNNNNNNNNNNNNNNNNNNNNNNNNNNNNNNNNGGUUGCCUUCAUUUUAUGGAAAGCAAUGUAUUUGUGAACAAUGAUAUCAAGAUUUUUCAAGGAAUAAUUUGGAUACCUUUCCUAUAUGUCUUUCCACAAAGUAUGAGCACACUCAAAGUUUUGCAACUGAUUAAUCACGUUUCUUGGUAAACCUCUAAUGAUAAGAUUGACGGUGUUGAGGUUGCCAAGCAUGUUAACUUCAUCAUCAUGAGAAGGAUCUAUGGGGUCAAUGGGAGGUGCAUAGGGAUAUUCAAUAUACUUGCGCAAAUGGAACUCAUCGAAUAUGUCAAGCUUUUCGUCUUUCCAUUGUCUAAAGUACUCCCCAUCAAAAAUAGGCACUCUACAACUAAAAAUCUAAGAACUAGUCACAUUCAUCUUCCUCCAAUGGCUGUUAAACCAAGGUUUUGGUGACCUUGCUCUGAUACCACUUGAGGGAUCGAUAUAAGAUGUCUCUGGGGGGGGGGGAAUAUGCUACUUGUCAAGAUAAAAUUUCUAGCCUAGCCAAAUUUCUAGGAGGGCAGAAAUCUAGCAGUUCUAACAAGUCCACAUACCCUACACAAGCAGUUCUAAGAGUCUAGCAGCGGAAAGUAAAACAUGCAAGUGUAAAGUAGAGGAGAAGGGAAGCAAGAUCAAACGCAUGGGGUUGACACGAUAAUUUUUGGCAUGGUUCCGAUAGGUGGCGCUAUCGUACGUCCAUGUUAGUGGAGACUUCAACCCACGGAGGGUAACGGCUGCGAGAGUCCAUGGAGGGCUCCACCCACGGAGGGUCCACAAAAAAACAGCUUUGUCUAUCCCCCCGAGGCUUCCUUCCACGGAGGACUAGUGUUACUCACGGUAGAUAUUCAUGAAGUAGGAGAUAUCCUUGCCCUUACAAACAUCUUUGUUCAACUCCACAACAUGAAGUAGGAGGCUCCCAAGCGAGACCUAACCAAUCUAGGAGGCACCAUGCUCCAAAAGGUAAUAUAUGUGGUAGAUCAAUGAACUCCUUGCUCUUGUGCUUAUAAAGAUAGUCUCCUCAACACAAAUAUCUCUCUCACAGAAUAUGCAUGGGUAGGAGAGGUUGACUUGGUGGAAAGCAGUUUGGGGAGGCUAGAGAUCAAUAUUCAAAUGAUUGGAUUGGAAUAUUUUGGAAUAUUCAAGGUAAUAUGUUGGUGACACCGAAUUUGUGAAUGUGGAACUUUAUAGAGUGGAUAUGUGGGAACAAUGACCGAGUGUUUUGGUGGCUAACUUUGAGCAUUUGAGCAAUCAGUUCAUUUUACUACCUCACCCGCUUUUAAUAGUAUUGGCUUUCCUAUGGACUCCAAAGUGAUUUCUCACAAGUAUGAAAUGAAGAGUCUUCUAGCUUGAAGCUUGAGCCAAUAUUAUUCCUUUCUUGCAUCCAGGGGCAUCUCCACAUAAACCUUAAGCCAUAGCUCUUCAUGGACUAAACCUGAAAUAUCUAGGUAAAAGUAUUAGUCCAAGAGGCAAUGUAUGUUGUCAUGAAUUAUCAAAAUCACCAAGGGAGUAUCUGUGCUUGCAAUGGUGUUGCAAUACGUUCUUGAUUCUCUUAUAGUGGGUGGCUAGAGUGACACAAGAUUACACCCGAGUAAGGGGGUUGUUGCGUAUGGUAGUAAAUGGGAAUUGAUGUUUACUGCUAUUGUUGGGUUUACCUUAAUGAUUUCUUGGAUUUGCGGAUUCUUGCUAGAGGUCCAAUCAUAAGUUCAUAUGAUCCAAGUAUGAAAACUAUGUUAGCUCAUGCCUCUCCGACAUAUAAAAUUGCAAUAAUGAUUACUGAUCUUGUUAUCAAUUACCUUGGAAAAUUCCGCACACCAUACCAUAAUUAUUCCACCCUUGCUUUUUUUAAUAUAAUAUAAUAUAUGCUAAAUUAUUUAGGCAUCAACUAUUUUUCAUAUUUUAGUUCUCCAAUAUCAUGCAAAGCUAUCCUCUUUAUACCUAGAGCACAAUUUUAUUUCUCCUUUCUAGUUAGAAGCAACUAGUGUGUGUACAUGGAGUUGUAUUAGUCGCAUAUAGGACUUGACAGAAUAUUGAUCUUACUUUUAGCUCCUUGUGGGUUUGACACUCCAUACUUACUACUUCCAUAUUUGGAAAGUGCUAUGAUGAUUCCUUGCACUUGGGGAUCAUCAGUCUCUAGUNNNNNNNNNNNNNNNNNNNNNNNNNNNNNNNNNNNNNNNNNNNNNNNNNNNNNNNNNNNNNNNNNNNNNNNNNNNNNNNNNNNNNNNNNNNNNNNNNNNNCUCACUUUGCAAACAAUCUAUAAGGGAUUGACAACCCCUUCAUAGUGUUGGGUGCAAGCUCUUUGUGUUUGUGCAGGUACUUGUGACUUGACUCGAUCCUCCUACUGGAUUGAUACCUUGGUUCUCAAACUGAGGGAUAUACUUACCGCCGCUGUGCUACAUCACCCUUUCCUCUUCAAGGGAACACCAACGCAAGGCUCCAAGGCCGCGGGGCUACAUCACCCUUUCCUCUUCAAGGGAACACCAACGCAGGGCUCCAAGGCCGCGAGGAAAUCCUUUGCAUAUUUGCCAAGGAAGUCCAUAUAGGCGUAGCCCGUAGCAGAAGGAUUCCUGGCGCCGUUGCUAGGGAAGGUCUUUUGUUGCCGUAGCAGUACCCUUGGAUAGCAAGGAUGGACGUCGUUCUUUUAUCGUUUGUCUUCGUACGUAGUCGGACCCUGCUCUUCAUCAUGAUGACUGUAUAUUGUUGUAUUGAUGUGAUCUUGAUGUAUCUUGUGGCAAGUGUAAGCCAACUCCUUAUACUUAUCUUUUCAGUACAUGUACUUGUAACGAUAUCCAUUCUUGCGAAACGGCGAGAUGUGUUUCAAUUCCUGUCGAGGCCCUCGCGCCAAAAUAAGGAUAGGACCGCAUCUUGGGUUUUACAAUGUGGCACUAAGAUAUAUUGUGAUGUGCUGACAAUUUGGUUAGUGGAACUAAUGCCAGUUUGUAGAGUUUACCUCGGGAUAUUGGUUUCACGGAGAUCCCAUUGGAGUUGUGUGACCACCCAUAAUAGGGGAUUUGUGGUGCGAGAGUUGCAACCUGAAAAGUGCAUGUGGCACUAAGAUAUAUAGUGAUGUGAUGACAAUCUGGUUAGUGGAACUAAUAUCAGUUUGUAGAGUUUAUCUUAGGAUAUUGGUUUCACAGAGAUUCCAUUGGACUUGUGUGACCCCCCACCAUUCAAAAAGGUCAAGUCGUAUUUACCGAUGACUCAAAGGUUUUUGUUGGUUUGAUUUGAGUCGUAUGAAAAUCGCACUAUCAAGAGGGGUCAUCAUGGAUGUGUCAUGUGUGAAUGCCUCCAAACUUAUACACCAGCCAUCCUACACCUACGACCAAGAAUCCACUUAUAAUGUGCUUUUUGAGGUGUCUUGUGAGCUUCAACAAAAACUCUCUCGACACCCGAGGUUCCACGAAACUCUCUUGACAUCCCAUGAUCACGGGGUCCUAGACCCUCGUGUGCACNNNNNNNNNNNNNNNNNNNNNNNNNNNNNNNNNNNNNNNNNNNNNNNNNNNNNNNNNNNNNNNNNNNNNNNNNNNNNNNNNNNNNNNNNNNNNNNNNNNNCCAAACAUUUUGAGUAUGUGCUCACUGACAGAACUGUUCUCCUCCAUCUUACAGCUAAAGAACUUGUCGGAGACUUCAUAUCUCUCGACACGAGCAUGAGCUUGAAAAACUAGCUUCAGCUCCUGGAACAUCUCAUGUGCUCCGUGUUGCUCAAAACGCCUUUGGAGCCCCGUUUCUAAACUGUAUAACAUGCCACACCUAACCAGAGAGUAGUCAUCACUCCGCGUUUGCCAGACGUUCAGAAUGCCCUGGGCUGCCGCGGGAGCGGGAGGGUCACCUAGCGGCGCAUCAAGGGCAUAAGCCUUUUUAUCUGCCUCAAGGAUGAGCUNNUAGCGGCGCAUCAAGGGCAUAAGCCUUUUUAUCUGCUUCAAGGAUGAGCUUCAAGUUGCGAACCCAGUCCGCAUAGUUGCUACCAUCAUCUUUCAGCUUGUUUUUCUCUAGGAAUGUGUUGAAAUUGAGGUUGACGUUGGCCAUCUACAAUAUUUAUAAAGACAAACCUUUUAGACUAAGUUCAUGACAAUUAAGUUCAUUUAAUCAAAUUAAGUAUGAACUCCCACUUAAAUCGACAUCCCUCUAGUCAUCUAAGUGAUACAUGAUCCAUGUUGACUAACCCGUGUCCGAUCAUCACGUGAGACGGACUAGUCACCAUGGUGAGCAACUUCAUGCUGAUCGUAUUCAACCAUACGACUCAUGUUCCACCUUUCGUGCUGAUCGUAUUCAACCAUACGACUCAUGUUCGACCUUUCGGUCUCUUGUAUUUGAGGUCAUGUCUGUACAUGCUAAGCUCGUCGAGUCAACCUAGGUGUUUCGCGUGUGUAAAUCUGGCUUACACCCGUUGUAUGCGAACGUUAGAAUCUAUCACACCCGAUCAUCACGUGGUGCUUCGAGACAACGAACCUUCGCAACGGUGCACACUUAGGGGAAUACGUUCUCGAAAUUUUAAGAGGGAUCAUCUUAUUAUGCUACCGUCGUUCUAAGCAAUAAGAUGAAAAACAUGAUAAACAUCACAAUACAAUCAUAUAGUGUCAUGAUAUGGCCAUUAUCAUCUUUGCUCUUUCGAUCUCCAUCUUCAGGCAUCGCAUGAUCAUCACCAUCACCGGCAUGACACCAUGAUCUCCAUCAUCAUGAUCUCCAUCAUCGUGUCUCCGUGAAGUCGUCACGCCAAUUACUUCUAUCACUACCACUAUGGCUAACCGUUAGCAAUGAAGUAAAAGUAGUAAGCACAUGGCGUUGCAUCUCAUACAAUAAAUUAAGACAACUCCUAUGGCUCCUGCCGGUUGUCAUACUCAUCGACAUGGAAGUCGUGAAACCUAUUACAAUAACAUGAUCAUCUCAUACAUCAUACAUGCAACAUCACAACUUUGGCCAUAUCACAUCACAUGUCAAACCGUGCAAAAACAAGUUAGACGUCCUCUAAUUGUUGUUGCAAGUUUUACGUGGCUGAUUUGUGUUUCUAGCAAGAACGCCUUCUUACCUAUGUGAAAGCCACAACGAUGAUAUGCCAAAGCUAUUUACCCUUCAUAAGGACCCUUUUCAUCAAAUCAAUCCGACUAGAGUAGGAGAGACAGACACCCGCUAGCCACCUUUAUGCACGGUGUGCAUGUCUGUCGGUGGAACCAGUCUCACGUAAGCGUACGUGUAAAGUCGGUCCGGGCCUCUNNNNNNNNNNNNNNNNNNNNNNNNNNNNNNNNNNNNNGGGCCUCUUCAUCCCACAAUACCACCGGUAAAGAAUAAGACUAGUAGCGGCAAGCAAAUUGACAAAUCAUCGCCCACAACUUUUGUGUUCUACUCGUGCAUAGAAUCUACGCAUAGAAAACCUGGCUCGGAUGCCACUGUUGGGUAACGUAGCAUAAAUUGAAAAUUUUCCUACGCAUAUUCAGAUCUUCCUAUGGAGAGACCAGCAACGAGAGAGGGGUAAGAGCAUCUUCAUACCUUUGAAGAUCGCUAAGCGGAAGCGUUGCUAGAACACGGUUGAUGGAGUCGUACUCGCAGCGAUUCCGAUCUAGUGCCGAACUACGGCACCUCCGCGUUCAACACACGUGCAGCCCGGUGACGUCUCCUGCACCUCGAUCCAGCAAGGAGGAGGGAGAGGUUGGGGAAGAACUCCAGCAGCAUGACGGCGUGGUGUCGAUGGAGAGACGAGGUCUCCCGGCAGGGCUUCGCCAAGCACGGGCAGAGAGGAGGAGGAAGAAGGGCAGGGUUGCGCCGAGAGAGAGGCAAAAGUCUAUCUCUCAAUGGCCAAAAGUGCCCGAUAUAUAUAGGGAGAUGGGAGAGGGGGUGCCACCCCUAGGGUUCCCACCCUAGGUGGUGCGGCAGCCCCCCCAGAUGGGAGGUGCGGCGGCCAGAGGGGGGAGGAGGGGGUGGCGCACCACCUGGUGGGCCUUAGGCCCACCUGGCUUAGGGUUUGCCCCUCUUUUCUCUCCCCUGCGCAUUGGGCUGAGUGGGGAGGCGCACCAGCCCACCUAGGUGCUGGUUCCCACCCCCACUUGGCCCAUCUUACCUCCCGGGGUCGUUGCCCCCCUUCGGUGGUCCCCCGGGGCCACCUCCGAUGGUCCGGGUGGUCCCGGUACGUUACCCGUUAUGCCCGAAACACUUCCGGUAUCCGAAACCAUCCGUCCUAUAUAUCAAUCUUUACCUCCGGACCAUUCCGGAGCUCCUCGUGAUGUCCGGAAUCUCAUCCAGGACUCCGAACAACUCUCGGUAACCUCGUAUAACAAUUCCCUAUAACCCUAGCGUCACCGAACCUUAAGUGUGUAGACCCUACGGGUUCGGGAGACAGGCAGACAUGACCGAGACACCUCUCUGGCCAAUAACCAUCAGCGGGGUCUGGAUACCCAUGGUGGCUCCCACUUUCUCCACGAUGAUCUCAUCGAAUGAACCACGAUGUCAAGGAUUCAAUCAAUCCCGUAUACGAUUCCCUCUGUCUGUCGGUAUAGAACUUGCCCGAGAUUCGAUCGUCGGUAUGCCUAUACCUUGUUCAAUCUCGUUACCGGUAAGUCUCUUUACUCGAUGCCCAUACGUUGUUCAAUCUCGUUACCGGUAAGUCUCUUUACUCGUUCCGUAGCACGUCAUCGUGUGACUAACUCCUUAGUCACAUUGAGCUCAUGAUGAUGUUCUACCGAGUGGGCCCAGAGAUACCUCUCCGUCACACGGAGUGACAAAUCCCGAUCUUGAUUCGUACCAACCCAACAGACACUUUCAGAGAUACCCGUAAUGCACCUUUAUAGUCACCCAGUUACGUUGUGACGUUUGAUACACCCAAAGCACUCCUACGGUAUCCGGGAGUUGCACAAUCUCACGGUCGAAGGAAAAGACACUUGACAUUAGAAAAGCUUUAGUAUGCGAACAAUACGAUCUAGUGCUAUGCUUAGGAUUGGGUCUUGUCCAUCACAUCAUUCUCCCAAUGAUGUGAUCCCGUUAUCAAUGACAUNNNNNNNNNNNNNNNNNNNNNNNNNNNNNNNNNNNNNNNNNNNNNNNNNNNNNNNNNNNNNNNNNNNNNNNNNNNNNNNNNNNNNNNNNNNNNNNNNNNNAGUCUACCUCGGUGUACUAAUUUUCAUAGUAGUAAGGAUGAAAUUAGCUGGAAGACAAAUGGUGUGUCACACAAAUCGUAUAUUUCAAGUCAAAGGUAUGAUUCAUAUACAAGGUGUGAUUCUACUGUGAGUACGAUUUGAAACAUGCUAUACCCCGAAGAAAGCUAGAAUGUGAUAUGAAUUCACUACUCAACAAGAAGGAUACCCGCACAAACUUUUUCAUACAAGUAUCCAGCAGUCGGAAUAUUAANNNNNNNNNNNNNNNNNNNNNNNNNNNNNNNNNNNAGCAGUCGGAAUAUUAAAGGGUAUAUAUAUGGUAGUAAGUCAACAUAUCCCAGAUAGAAGCUUCUACUGUAAGCAACCUAGUCUGCCCUCACAAGCUACCGAAGAAGCUUACAAUGCAUGAUUCCUCUACCUUCCUCAGUAUGAUACGUGGAUGAAUUCUCGUGCAAGAUACUCAUGCUUCUUCCGUAAGCUACUGCAAAAGCUUCUGGCAUAAGGUAUUGAGUCUUCCCUAGCAAGACUUUAAGGGGGGAAGCUUCUAAAGUACGGUACUCAAUCUUCUUCAACAAGCUGUCUGACAAAAGCUUUGAGCACAAGCUAUUCAACUCGAUACUCUCGAUGUCUUCCAAUGGAAGCCGUCCAACUUUCCUCAAUACGACACCGCUCCAAGAUAUUACACACUAAUAUGGUAAUAUAUGGCAGUACAUCCCAAGAAUCAAAUCCACAAUAGUUUGGUCAGAAGCUAGAAUCAAUCAGAACACAAGUCUACCUCAGGAAUCAAAUACUUCCAUAAACACUAUGAGCAUGCUACCAAAUUCAUGCAAGUCACUCGCACGAUGAUGAAAUAACGGUAAGAAUCCAACAACCUCACGAGUUACGCAAGAGUAAAAAGUGAGUUAUACACUUCAGGGAGUGAUGCAGGGACCGACCAACUUUGUUGAAAGAUAGCGUGAGAAAAUUAUUUUUGGCAGUGCAUAUCCAGGCCAAACAUGGUGAUAUCGUUAACCCUUAUCACGAGCUUGUAUGAUGGACGACAACAAUGAGCUCUCUACAAGCACAUGUGAAUCUAGCAUAUAUCCUAUGGCCCGAGUCGUGAACAAGGCCAAUGUAUGAUGGCCAAAAUAUUGCAUAUGACAGCACCUCUGGUCACAAGAAUUGAAGAUAUAUAUGUGGACAAGAUCCUUCGGCAAAAGGAUCCACACAAAGAAACCAAUAAUGAAGGAGCGAGACCGUCAAUACAAAUAUGCCACUUGUUGCUUGACCAACAAGGUAGAGAUACCAGGACGGUCAGGUUUAGUAUUGUUUACCAUUGACUAUCCACCUAAGGGGUCUACUCCAUCUGUAAGGACCUCAUAUCAAGAUAACCCGCUCAACCAACAUUAUCUGCUCAAAACUGCUAGUAUCGACUAUCCAAGUCUAUCACGUAAAACAAAAGGCCAGCUCAACAGAUUAAAUUCAAUAACCGUGUUAAAGCAUGACAAAUCCUACUAUCCACAAGAAUAUAGCAACCGAAUAAGAAUGUAGUAUGCUAAACAACAGUCUCGAAGCAUGUGCCCUCGCAUAGGGGAAUCAGUUAAAGGAUAGCCUGCCAAGAACAAGAUGCUUCUGUCAGAACCAACGUCUGUUAAGUCUCGAGAUGCUACUAUUAUAAGGCUAUACUCCUUUCUACUGGUCACAACAAACGACAGUCAGACCUUUGGUAUGAAUCUGGUACUCAAGACAGUGGAAAUAUCCAAGAUGAUGAAGGAAUACGAGUGAGAAGUCACACNNNNNNNNNNNNNNNNNNNNNNNNNNNNNNNNNNNNNNNNNNNNNNNNNNNNNNNNNNNNNNNNNNNNNNNNNNNNNNNNNNNNNNNNNNNNNNNNNNNNCUUGGAUAAAAUAGGUCAUUCCGGAGCAAACUAUGCUUAUUAAGCCAGUUUGGAUCUAGCUAGGCUAAUUAUAGGCCAUUUAAUACCUAAAUUAGAGGGAAUUGGUCAUCUUACAACUACGUAAGCCUUAUUAUGUUAUUUAGGAGAGAACUUAGCUAACUGUAGGUCAUUUUUUAUUAAAUAGGUCAUUUUGGAGCUAACUAAGCUAAUUAUGUCAUUUCGUAGGAUAAUUAGCCAAUUUAGCCUUUCUUAGAUGAGUCUAAGCUACGUAGAAGAAGAGAAAGAGAAGAAGAAGUAAAAGAAGGAGGAGGAGGAGGAGGAGGAGAAGGAGAAGGAAGAGGAGAAGAAGAAGAAAAGAAGAAGGAGAAGGAGAAGGAGGAAGAAGAAGGAGAAGGAGGAGCUCCUUCUCCUUCUUCUUAUCCUCCUCCUUCUCCUUCUUCGUAGGAUAAUUAGCCAAUAUAGCCAUUUUGGAGCUAACUAAGUUAAUUAUGUCAUUUAGAUGGAAGUCUAGUUAUUUUUUAUUAAAACACNNNNNNNNNNNNNNNNNNNNNNNNNNNNNNNNNNNNNNNNNNNNNNNNNNNNNCUAGAAAUAACAUAACAUUAUCGUCAUCACAGCGGUGAAGCACGGUGGCUCUGGCUUGUUUCACCUGGAGAAGGCUGCCAUGGAGAAGGCUCGACUGUAGAAGGGUCGUGCGAUGCUUUUUGGGAGAUAUUCUGCACCAAACAUCAUUUGCAAUGUGUAGUUAGCAUGAGGACACUCUUAAGAUCACUGCACUGAAAUGAAACUCACCAUCCCCGCCACGUUAAUGACUGGCAUCGGCGGAGGGACUUGGUCGCUCUUCUCGCACAUAGACUGUACAUUUGGUUUCGACAAGUCAAACUUUUUAUUUAUUAAUGAAACGGACAUUCAAAUGCAAGAUUUGAAAUAACAUGAAGAAGAAACUUACCACGAAGAGCUCGUAUAUGGCCCUGUUAGACGCAUCAUUCCGUGCCCUCUCCGCCUCCACCAAUGCAGUCGUCCUCUCCUCCAGCUCCCUAAUUUCCUUAUCCUUCUCCGCCAUAGCCGCCUGCAUUGCCUCUCUCUCUUUCUGAAUAGCAGCCUGCAACACAACUCGUUGUUAGCAAUGUAAUCAUAUUGGUUCCAACGCACAACAUAAUGCGGAAAGAUAGUUGAGUCCAUUAAACUAACCUCGAUGGUGAGCUCGAGGUCGUGGAUGACGUGUUAUCUCCGUACAAGAGCUCGUUUGGCAUGCCUUUAUCUACCGGAGAGUGCUAGGACAACGUAUAAGGUCGUCUCCAAUGGAGAUCGAGCCAUGGGGCCUCCCGUUGCCAGCUAUCAUCACCAGCUCUGGAUCAAUAGGCCCCCCGCUCGGGUUAAAGUCCUCCCCUUUCCUCGCCUUCCCGUGAUCUCUGUACUUCACGAGCUUGUGGUGGGAGGCGAUGUUGGUGAAGUUUUCUGGAUGCUUGUGGUGGGAGGAGAUGUUGGUGAAGUUUUCUGGAUGCUCGAGGUCAGACUCAGAGAAUGCCUUGACCUUCUUUUACGAGGCAGUAUGGGCCAUCGCAUACAGGUCGUACAUCUGUGGCACCUCCGUCUUAUUGUGAUGCGACUAAAAGAGAGAGAGAGGAAAUUGUAUUCGUAGAGGGCUCAAGAUAGCAUUAAGAAUGAACUGCAUGAGGCAUGAAGCAAACCACAUACCGAGUUCUCGCCAAAUUGGAUUAAGUUGAUGCUCCCUUGAUGGUGUGGNNNNNNNNNNNNNNNNNNNNNNNNNNNNNNNNNNNNNNNNNNNNNNNNGGCACGCCAACCAUUUUGCCACGCCUCUCCUUGGCGUUGUUGUGGCUGGCCUCCCAUGUUUCGGAGCACCACUGGUCCACCAAUGCCUCCCAACAAUCCAUCUUAUCCACACACCAUCUCGGGGGCACCUAAGUUAAUAAAGAGAAAUUUGAGCGCGUAAGAACCAAAUCAAGGAAACUAACUACAAAGCCUUAAUAAUAUGUAAUUACCUUCAUGUAAUUCUCCUUCUCCAUCUUAGCGUCACGGCACUUCGCCUUGUCAAUCCUAAUACGCCACGUGGCAUAGUAGUCUCGAACACCCUGCACCCGAGCCUCGUGCCGAAAGUUUUGAAGUAGGCGGCGACAUUCGGUUUCGAUAACCUUUGUUGCGUCCUCCUCGUAUCCCUCGUCACACCUGUAGUAGGUCUGCAAACGAGGCAACACCGAUUAGUACAAUAAAUAGCUAUGGUUGAUUUAUAAUUGUGUGAAGGAGAAAUUACCCAGAACUUUCGGAUCACCAUGUCCGCCCUCGUGUCGCACAAAACACCGUCGAUCUCCACCUCCGGCGGGGCCGGGGCACCCAAGUAGUGCUCCCAGGUCAUUCCUACCUCUCGCUCCCGACCGGGAAACGUAACAAACCCUGGGAAGUUUUUACGGCAAAGCGCACCAAGGACGCUGUUGGGUUUGCGGACCCCCUUGGCAACAAUCCAACCCCUACAGUAUGACAAAUUAAAGACAAAACAUUAGAUAUUUGGGAAAACGCGAAGGCAAAAGGUUAAAUAAGAGUAAAUUAACUUACUUGUCCCCAUUUGGCCUAAUCGACCACCUGUGCUCGGGGUUCGCUGGCACGAGCGGGAGCCCCGAACUACCACACUGGUAGACAAUAGCCCCCUCACCUAUCUCCUCGUCGCUACCAGCAUCCGACUAGGUCUCUUANNNNNNNNNNNNNNNNNNNNNNNCAUCCGACUAGGUCUCUUAGGACGUACCCUCAUCCCUUCUUUGCUCCGGAGUCGCCUGGAAUGAAGCCUCUGGGACACGAGUCUCAUGGGUCGAAGGCUCGUCGACCUAAGGCUCGUCGACCCGAGGCUCGUGCACUGGAUAUAGUGUAGCCUCCACCUCAGACGAAUCCACCCUAGAAGUCCUGUGCUUAGGUGAAUCAGCGUGGGGUGGUGGCGAAGACCGUGUAGCCGCCACCUCAGAAGGCGUGGCAGCCACCGCCCUACCUCUCCUGCGGCCACGUGUACCUUUAGUACUACAUAAAUACCAACAUGAGUAAUAAAAUGUAUAUAAAUACCAUUAUGCAUACAACAUGAGUACAACAUAAAUACCAACAUGAAUACAACGUGUACCUUUAGUACCUCUCGGCUUCGCGGGGGGUCGACCUCCUCUCACGGGGGGUGCUCCUUGCAUAGUAGAGAGCAACACUCUCCGAAGAGGCGAGGCAGGAAUGGAAGUACCCAUCCCAUCACCCACCGACGAAGAAGGAGCCGCGGAGUGCUUUCGACCCUUUCCCACCAUCUUUCAACACCUGUCAUGACAAAGGGUAAAUGAAAUUAGUACAAAAUAAAUACCAACAUGAGUAAUAAAAUGUAUAUAAUUUAAGUGUAUCAUCAUCAUAAAUACCAACANNNNNNNNNNNNNNNNNNNNNNNNNNNNNNNNNNNNNNNNNNNNNNNNNNNNNNNNNNNNNNNNNNNNNNNNNNNNNNNNNNNNNNNNNNNNNNNNNNNNACCAAAUUAGGUCUUACUUUUAUGUAGUUUCCUUGGUGAUAUUCAUAUGCCUCUGUUAUACUUUACUUGAUGUUAAGUUAUAUGCUAUGUGACAUGAUAGCAAGUCAGGAAGGCUGAAAGUGGGAGGCCAUGUUGAACGCAACGAUUAUUGAUACACUUAGGCUAUUAGGAAACCAAGAUCUUGAAAUAUAUUUUUCUAAGAAUGAGCACACUAUCCAUACGCAGGACAUUAUGGGAGCCCAUGGACACUUUCUACAGUUGUAAAUUGUCCACGGGUCAUAAUGGUGUUGUACUAUUUGUAUGUAUUGUUUUGCAGGUAUGAGGAGACGUUCCAUGGUAAUGGUAUGAUUUUACCAUUAGGGUGUUUUUUCCCAUGAUGUUCCUUUGGGCCCGCAUGUGUAGGACUUCCCCACUAGUCCUAAAAUUGUGUGGUUGCGAAUGGCUAUGCUCGGACUCGACACUAGCCACGUGUCACUGGUGUGACACAAUUGGAUCCGAUUCAGAGAUAUAUCUCCCCGACUAGGAUGUAGUAACGAAGUACGUAUCAUUUGUUUGAAACUACGUAGCUUAGCCCGUCGUGGGUCACAACAUAAGGUCGGCGAGCAUGUGUUGUCAUGCCAUUCAGAACUUUAGCUGCUAUCACAAGAAAUGGGCGCCCCCCGUGGGUCAGUUCUUGUUGUGAACAACGUGUGUAUGGAGCUUAUAGUGGGUAUGCAUGGUUAAGGAUGACUUGAGCUUUAUGACAGUUCAUAAGAUAACUUCAAUCAUACUCGCCAAAACUUGUCCGCCCUUAAACUUCAUGUUAAUUGCAUGUUCUACUUCAACCAUAAUUAAUGGAAACCCGUGCACCACAUGAGUGACAUGGGGUAAUUCCUUGGGGAGGGUGUCAGGGAGGAUUCGUGGUGGUGGUAUGCUUGACAGUUGGAUAGAAUGCUCAUGUGCACACAACACUUGUGUUGUGAUGCAUGAAAUUUGGGACAUGUGGUCCUUUGGUUCUCAUGUUGUUCCACUAGACAUAAGUUGUAGCAUUGCCUAGUGCUUGCAACUUCACCACUCAUCCUUUCCAUACCUAUCGGUAUUGUUAUUUGUAGUACCCUUGGUAAUGAUACUUUUCAAGUACCCUGGUACUCACCCUUACCAUAAUAACAGGUUGCAUAUAUUGUGAUGGAUAAUGUUAGCUUGGUUGUCCUUCGGACAAUGGUCUUGGCAAGGUAAUGGACGCAUUUGCUUUUAUUUGAGCCUUCUUGACGCAAUUUGUAUUCUUGCUUCUCCGCCUCCCCCAUAUGAAUUGGACUUUGGUCAUAAGACCCUGAAUGUAUCAAAUAUUGCAUAUGUAUGUAUCUUGUUGUAUGCGGAACUUAUAAUNNNNNNNNNNNNNNNNNNNNNNNNNNNNNNNNNNNNNNNNNNNNNNNNNNNNNNNNNNNNNNNNNNNNNNNNNNNNNNNNNNNNNNNNNNNNNNNNNNNNUCACCUACAUGCUACGUCAACAACAUCAUUCGAAGGUAUGUACUCAUUCGAAGUGAUAUGAGGAGAUCGAAAUUCUUAAUCGAAAAAAUGGUAAACCAAUUUCGCGCUUAACGAUGAGUAUGACCUAUGAUCAAGCAUCCUUGCUUGACUCCUCAAGUCAAAUACUCUAAUAUACACUACAGGAAUUAGCUUCUUUGCCAUCUUCCAUCACAGACGGCAAAGAGUAUAUCACAGACUGCAAAGAGUAUAUCACAAACGGCAAAGAAUCUCACUGUCGACAAAAUUUCCGCGUUAGCCUACGACAACAUUGUAGCUUCUUUGUCGUCUGCUUCACCGAAACGGACGGCAAAGCUCUUUGCCGUGAGCUUUCCAUGAGAGCAGUCGGCAAAUAUGUCGAGACGGUAGCCGGCAGGCGUUGCCUCCGUUAGGGACUAACGGAGGCUUUGCCGUCUGCCUCCCCUCUUCUGUGCCGUCUGCCCCCCCCCCUCUUCUUUGCCAUAUGCCUCCCCCUCCUCUGUGCCAUCUGCCUCCCCCCUCUUCUUUGUCGUCUGCAUCCCCCCUCUUCUGUGCGGUCUACCUCCCCCUCUUCUUUGCCGUCAGCCUCCACCUCCUCCCCCCCUCCUCUCUGCCCUCUUCUUUGCCGUCUACCCCCUCCCUUGAAGCAGACGGCAAAGAUACUAUAUGUCCAGCUGCUGCUGCCCAGGUUGCACAGCUGGGUGCCACGUGGCACCUUUGCCGUCGGUCAGCUGAUGGCAAAGGCCUUUGCCAUCAGCUGGCAGACGGCAAAGAGCCUAUAUUGUCACAUUUUUGUUUAUUUUUUCUAUUUCAUAGCACAUAUAUAUAUAAUUCAUAGCACAUCUAUGAUAAAUAGGUCACAACACAUAUAUGAUAUACAUAUAAAGCUCAUCAAUGCCAUUUGUUCAUCAAAGUACAUCACAUAUAUUAAAAGAACCAACACAUACAAAGUUUCGUCCAUAUAUACAUACAUAUAGUUGCACAUAUAUUGUUCAUCCAUAUAUACAUAUACAUAUAGUUCCACAUUGUUCAUCAACUCAAAUAAAAACGGGAACUAAAGCACUCCAAUGCCAGCUUCCAUGCAUGUAGUACAUCCAAUCUGCAAAAUGGGAAUAAGAAACACAGAAGAAGAAGAAGAAGAAGAACAUAUAUAUGACAAAUAAGCUAAAUUGAAGAAGAAAGAGAAGAAGCAAGAAGAGAACAAGGAGAAGAAAAACAAGGAGGAGGAGGAGGAGGAGGAGGGGAAGGAGAAGGACAAGGAGGAGGAGAAGAAGAAAAAAGAAGAAGAGAAGAAGAAGGAGAAGAAGGAGGAGAAGGAGGAGAGAAGAAGAAGGAGAAGAAGGAUGGCUCCUUCUCCUUCUUCUCCUCCUUCUCCUCCUCCUCCUUCUUCUUCUCCUUCUCCUUCUCCUUCUCUUCUUCUUCUCUUCUUUUUCUUCUUCUUCCUUCUUUUCAUUUCUCCUCUUCUUGGAGCUAAAUUAGCUAACUAUGUCUUUUCGCAGCUAAAUGGGCUAAUUAUGUCAUUCUAGCGGAAAACAAGCUAAGUAUAUAAUAUUAAUGAGCUAAUCAAGGUUCUUAUGCCAUUUUGAGCUUAUUAUGUCUUUUAGGAGCUUAAUUAGUCAUUUUAUUGAGCUAACCAAGGUUCUUAUGAUGUUUUUACCUAACUAAGCUAAUUAUGUCAUUUUGGAUGAUAAUUGGCUAAGUAUGUCUUUGUUGGGGAAAAUAAGCUAAAUUGAAGAAGAAGAGGAGAAGAAGGAGGGAAGAAGAAGGAGAAUAAGGAGGGCUCCUUCUCCUCCUUCUCCUUCUUCUCUUCUUCUUCUCCUCCUCCUUCUUCUCCUUCUCCUUCUCUUCUCUUUCUCUUCUUCUUUUUGUUCUUCCUUUUUAUUUCUCCUCUUCUCCUCUUCUUGGAGCUAAAUUAGCUAACUAUGUCAUUAUAGAGGAAAACAAGCUAAGUAUAUAAUAUUAAUGAGCUAACCAAGGUUCUUAUGCCAUUUUGAGCUUAUAAUGUCUUUUUGGAGCUAAAUUGUCUAAUUAUGUCAUUGUUGGGGAAAUUAAGGCAAGGAGAAUAUGAAAGAAGAAAAGAAAGAGGAGGAGGAGAAGAAGAAGAAGAAAUAAAGAAGGAGGAGGAGAAGGACUAGAAGGUCCUUGGCCUUCUCCUCCUUCUCCUCCUCCUCCUCCUCCUCCUUCUCCUUCUUCUNNNNNNNNNNNNNNNNNNNNNNNNNNNNNNNNNNNNNNNNNNNNNNNNNNNNNNNNNNNNNNNNNNNNNNNNNNNNNNNNNNNNNNNNNNNNNNNNNNNNGGAGGAGGAGAAGGACUAGAAGGUCCUUGGCCUUCUCCUCCUUCUUCUCCUCCUCCUCCUCCACCUCCUCCUUCUUCUCCUCCUCCUUCUUCUCCUUCUCCUUCUCUUCUCUUUUUCUUCUUUUUUGUUCUUCCUUUUCAUUUCUCCUCUUCUUGGAGCUAAAUUAGCUAACUAUGUCAUUAUAGAGGAAAACAAGCUAAGUAUAUAAUAUUAAUGAGCUAACCAAGGUUCUUAUGCCAUUUUGAGCUUAUAAUGUCUUUUUGGAGCUAACCAAGGUUUUUAUGCCAUUAAGGAGAAUAAGGAGGAGGAGGAGGAGGAGAAGGACUAGAAGGUCCUUGGCCUUCUCCUCCUUCUCCUCCUCCUCCUCCUCCUUCUCCUUCUUCUCUUCUUCUUCUUUCUUUUCAUUUUUCCUAUUUAUUCUCCUCUUCACCUCUUCUUGGAGCUAAAUUAGCUAAAUAUGUCUUUUUGGAGCUAAAUGGUAUAAUUAUCCCAUUUUAGAGGAAAACAAGCUAAGUAUAUAAUAUUAAUAAGCUAACCAAGCUUCUUAUGCCAUUUUGAGGUUAUUAUGGCAUUUUGGAGCUAAAUGGUCUAAUUAUGUCAUUGUUGGGGAAAUUAAGGAAAGGAUAAUAUGAAAGAGGAGAAGAAAGAGGAGGAGGAGAAGAAGAAGAAGAAAUAAAGAAGAAGGAGGAGAAGGAGGAGGAGGAGGAGAAGGACUAGAAGGUCCUUGGCCUUCUCCUCCUGCUCCUCUUCCUCCUCCUCCUCCUUCUCCUUCUUCUCUUCUUCUUCUUUCUUUUCGANNNNNNNNNNNNNNNNNNNNNNNNNNNNNNNNNNNNNNNNNNNNNNNNNNNNNNNNNNNNNNNNNNNNNNNNNNNNNNNNNNNNNNNNNNNNNNNNNNNNCCGCGUAAUGCCCCGGGGUAACCCUGAGGCCUUCUGGACCCCCUCCCGAGGAGCCUCCAACACUGGCACAGGCGGCGCUACUAAAGGAGAGGCGCCACAAAGAACAAGAGGCCCCGAAGGCUGCUGCACAGCUGCGAGCGUCAGCACCUUCAGAGGCCGGGGAUCCUUGGAGGCCAGUUCUCCAUGCAACGGCGUCCCCACGCUCACCAGAGGAUGCUUCGGGGGCUCGGGGGGCUUGACGACCAAGGCCAGGGAGGCCGCCCAAAGAUCCCCUCCUCCUCCUCCUUACCCGUAGACGGUGAUGUGUCGACAAGGGCAGGCGGGGCAUCGAGAGACGCCUUCGGCCUAGCAACCGUCUUCUUCUUCUUCGGCGUGAGACCAAAUCAGCGUUCGCCCAUGCUCACUGGACUCACCCACGGUCCAUGGAAGCACCGAGACGAGAUCCGCCUCCUUGGAGAGGGCGCAGUCCAGGAGCGGAGAAGUUGGGGCCAGGCCAUGCCCCUCUGGCUUAUACUUGCCGGUGGUGCCAUCGCUGGAUUGUCGAGUAACUAUGCGACACUGGAUCUGGGAGGCAUCGGCCGGAGUCAAAGGCUUAAGAAGAAAGACGAGUGCGGUAAAAGGAAGGCAAUAAGGCACCGAAGCUACAAGCAGGGCACCUAAUAAAGGGGGCAGAGAUAGAGGACAAGGAGGCAUGGACGCCAUCCGCGUGUCGUGCGCCGGCCUGGACCAUAGGUGUUUGAGGGCCCACGACGUCUCAUGCUACCCCUCAAGGCUCCUCCCUGAAGCCAACCCGAGCACACCGCAUGUCCGGCGGCUACUGUCGGCCUUCUGGGACUCGGGGUACCCAGACCUGCCUGCCUGUGGCCCAGGACGGGCCCGCUUCACUAGAGUGACGCAACAAGCCCAGUGAUAACCCACAAGUAUAAGGGAUCACAACAGUUUUCGAGGGUAGAGUAUUCAACCCAAACAUAUUGAUUCGACACAAGGGGAAGCCAAAGAAUAUUCUCAAGUAUUAGCAGUUGAGUUGUCAAUUCAACCACACCUAAAAGACUUAGUAUCUGCCGCAAAUCUAUCAGUAGCAAGGUAGUGUGAUAGCAACAGUAACCAGUAGCAACAAAGUGACAGCAGUGGUGACAGAGUAACAGUAGCAGCAGUAACAACAGUAGCGGCAAAGUAACGUAGCAAGGACCAGUAGGAAAAACUCGUAGGCAUUGGAUCAGUGAUGGAUGAUUAUGCCAGAAGGUAUUCAUCAUGCAACAGUUAUAACACGGNNNNNNNNNNNNNNNNNNNNNNNNNNNNNNNNNNNNNNNNNNNNNNNNNNNNNNNNNNNNNNNNNNNNNNNNNNNNNNNNNNNNNNNNNNNNNNNNNNNNCUUAAUGCUUAAUAUGUAAGCAGCCUCUCCUAGGUAAUUCGUUGAAAAACAUUAGUUCAAGUAAUCCUUUACACUCUCUAAAAACUCCACAUUGUUUUCAAUCAGCAAUAUGUCAUCCACAUAUAACAUUAGAAACGCUACAGAGCUCCCACUCACUUUCUUGUAUAUAGAAGAUUCUCCAACAACUUGUAUAAUCCCAAAUGUCUUGAUCACCUCAUCAAAGCGUUUAUUCCAACUCCGAAAUGCUUGCACCAGUCCAUAAAUAGAUCGCUAGAGCUUGCAUACUUUGCUAGCAUUCUUUGGAUCGACAAAACCUUCGGAUUGCAUCAUAUACAAGUCUUCCUUAAGAAACCAUUAAGGAACCCCAUUUUGACAUCCAUCAUCAUAUACAAGUCUUCCUUAAGAAACCAUUAAGGAACACCAUUUUGACAUCCAUCUGCCAAAUUUCAUAAUCGAAAUAUGCAGCAAUUGCUAACAUGAUUCGGACGGACUUAAGCAUCGCUACCAGUGAUAAUGUAUCAUCGUAGUCAACAACUUGAACUUGUGAAAAUACUUUUUCCACAAGUCGAGCUUUAUAAAAGGUCACAUUACCAACCGCGUCCGUCUUCUUGAAGAUCCAUUUGUUCUGAAUAGCCUUGCAACCUUCAGGUAAUACUUCCAAAGUCCACACUUUGUUUUCAUACAUAGACCCUAUCUCGGAUUUCAUGGCCUCUAGCCAUUUAUUGGAAUCAGGGCCCACCAUUGCUUCUUCAUAAUUCGCAGGCUCGUUGUUGUCUAACAACAUGAUAGAUAAGACAGGAUUUCCGUACCACUCAGGAGCAGUACGUGAUCUGGUCGACCUGCGAGGUCCGAUAGUAACUUGAUCCGAAACUUCAUGAUCACCAUCAUUAGCUUCCUCCUCAACCGGUGUUUCCUCGACACAGAUUUCCCUCUGCCCCGCGCCACCAUCUUGAGCGAGCAGAGGUUCCAAAACCUCAUCAAUUCUUUCGAGAGAAACUAUUUCUCAAGAAAAGCUUCGUUCUUAGAAACAAACACUUUGCCCUCGGAUCUGAGAUAGAAGGUGUACCCAACUGUCUCUUUUGGACAACUAUGAAGACGCACUUUUCCGCUUUGGGUUCCAGCUUUUCAGGCUGAAGCUUUUUGACAUAAGCAUCGCAUCCACAAACUUUAAGAAACGACAACUUUGGCAUCUUGCCACACCAUAGUUCAUAUGGUGUCGUCUCAACGGAUUUUGAUGGUGCCCUAUUUAAAGUGUAUGCAGAUGUCUCUAAUGCAUAACCCCAAAACGAUAAUGGCAAACCGGUAAGAUACAUCAUAGAUCGCACCAUAUCUAACGAAGUAGGAUUACGACGUUUGGACACACCAUUACGAUGUGGUGUUCCAGGCGGUGUCAACUGUGAAACAAUUCCAAAUUGUCUUAAGUGAGCACCAAACUCAAAACUCAGAUAUUCGCCCCCUCGAUCAGAUCAUAGGAACUUAAUCUUCUUGCUACGAUGAUUUUCAACUUCACUUUGAAAUUGCUUGAAGUUUUGAAAUGUUUCAGACUUGUACUUCAUCAAGUAGAUAUAUCCAUAGCUACUCAAAUCAUCAGUGAAGGUGAGAAAAUAACGAUAUCCGUAGCGCGCCUCCACACUCAUUGGCCCGCACACAUCAGUAUGUAUGAUCUCCAACAAGUCACUUGCACGCUCCAUUGUUCCGGAGAAUGGAGUCUUAGUCAUCUUGCCCAUGAGGCAUGGUUCGCACUUGUCAAGUGAUUCGAAAUCAAGUGACUCCAAAAUUCCAUCAGCAUGGAUUUUCUUCAUGCGCUUUACACCAAAAUGACCUAAGCAGCAGUGCCACAAAAAGGUUGCGCUAUCAUUGUUAACUCUACAUCUUUUGGUCUCAAUGUUAUGGAUAUGUGUGUCAUCAUAAUCAAGAUUCAAUAUGAACAAACCCCUCACAUUUGGUGCAUGACCAUAAAAGAUAUUACUCAUAAAAAUAGAACAACCAUUNNNNNNNNNNNNNNNNNNNNNNNNNNNNNNNNNNNNNNNNNNNNNNNNNNNNNNNNNNNNNNNNNNNNNNNNNNNNNNNNNNNNNNNNNNNNNNNNNNNNAACACAGUUUUGAACUCAAAAGGACAUGCAUAUAUUUGAGCCACCCAAUGCAAGGAACAAAAGAUUUGGUGUCCACCGGAAAAAAAUAUUCACAAUUCCAUCGAAUGUUGUUAGUGCUGGAUGCCACAUUUGUAGAAAAAUCAGGCUCAGACUUGUGAGAAGGAGAUAUACCUCACUCAUGAUGAUCUAUCACGCACAGCUAAGCCGAUAGAUAAGAAAUUAAUUGGCGACCGUAUUGUCGGAUUUCGGGCUCCACAAAGCCCUAAGGAUCCGAACANNNNNNNNNNNNNNNNNNNNNNNNNNNNNNNNNNNNNNNNNNNNNNNNNNNNCUAAGGAUCCGAACACUGGGGCGUGUAUGAAGAUCUCCCCUGCUUCGCCUCGCAUGUCUCACUACUCGAUGGAAACAAUGAAGGACUCACUCGAAGGUUCAGGCCGCUGCGAAGCAUAAAACACUACACCUGCUUUGAUGGAUUGCCUCUCUCUGAGGUUGAGGAACGAGAUGGUACACGACUUUUGCGCCUCCAGAGGCCAAGUGGCUAAGCGUGCUGCUCUAGGGUUUCGAUCCCCUCUCUCAACUAUCCUACCCUAUCUAUUUAUAGUGGAGGCCCGGGUCCUCUUCCCUNNNNNNNNNNNNNNNNNNNNNNNNNNNNNNNGGGUCCUCUUCCCUCUUAGCUUUGGCGGGAAGGGAUUCCACAACGACCAAUUUUGAAGGGGAACAUGCUCCCCUAACAAGAGAUGGUCUUCACCUGCAAAGUAAUUGUCCACCCCAUAGAGACCGGCUCGUGGAUGACGUUUGCCCUACUGGCGGGAGACUGCGGCUUUGUUGCACCAGAAGAUAAACCUUUGGGGGAUGCCUUUGGGAAGCAUGUACGCCCCACCUCCUUUGCACCAAAGGGGAAACUAUCUCGUCCUGCCAUAUGCUGCUCGCCUAUCCUUCCCUGGUGUCACCCUUGACUGCCGAGGACCGGCCCUGCCUCGUAAUAUCCACCAAUCCGGACGGGUCCUGAAGAGGCCCCCCUACGGGUCUUGACGCUGCUCCUCCUCAUGAGGCUUAGCUCCUCACGAGGGCCUGCCCUUAAGCCGUGCUGGGUGAUACGUCUCCAUCGUAUCUACUUUUCCAAACUCUUUUUCCCUUGUUUUGCACUCUAGUUUGCAUGAUUUGAAUGGAACUAACCCGGACUAAUGUUGUUUUCAGUAGAAUUGUCAUGGUGUUGUUUUUGCGCAGAAAUAAAAGUUCCCGGAAUGACCUGAAAAUUUACGAAGAAUUUUUUGUGGAAUAUAUAAAAAAUACUAGCGCAAGAAUCAACCGAAGAAGUGGAGCGUGGAGCCCACAAGCCCACCAGGCGUGCCCCCCUGGCCGCGCCUAACAGGUUUGUGGGGCCCACAUUGCUCCACCGCCUCCCAUUCCACCNNNNNNNNNNNNNNNNNNNNNNNNNNNNNNNNNNNNNNNNNNNNNNNNNNNNNNNNNNNNNNNNNNNNNNNNNNNNNNNNNNNNNNNNNNNNNNNNNNNNGAGCACAUACUCAAAAUGUUUGGGUUACACGGUCGUCUGACUUCACUUGGAGUCGAACUUCCGGAUGAUGCUAUAAUUGACUGAAUCCUCCAGUCUCUCCCAUCAAGCUACAAAGGCUUUGUGCUUAACUACAACAUGCAAGGGAUGGAGAAGACCAUUCCCGAGUUGUACUCGAUACUCAAGUCUGCAGAAGUAGAAAUCAAGAAAGAGCAUCAAGUGUUGAUGGUCAACAAGACCACUAGUUUCAAGAAGGGCAAGGGUAAGAAGAACUUCAAGAAAGACGGCAAAGCUGUUGCUGCGCCCGGUAAGCCAGAUGCUGAGAAGAAGAAAAAGAAUGGACCCAAGCCUGAGACUGAGUGCUUCUAUUGCAAGGGAAAAGGUCACUGGAAGCGGAACUGCCCCAAAUACUUAGCGGACAAGAAGGCCGGCAACGUUAAAGGUAUAUGUGAUAUACAUGUUAUUGAUGUGUACCUUACCAGCGCUCUUAGUAGCUCCUGGGUAUUUGAUACCGGUGUUGUUGCUCACAUUUGCAACUCAAAGCAGGAACUGCGGAAUAAGCGGAGACUGGCCAAGGACGAGGUGACGAUGCGCGUCGGGAAUUGUUCAAAGGUCGAUGUGAUCGCCGUCGGCACGCUACCUCUACAUCUACAAUCGGGAUUAGUUUUGAACCUUAAUAAUUGUUAUUUAGUACCAGCUUUAAGCAUGAACAUUGUAUCAGGGUCUUGCUUAAUGCGAGACGGCUACUCAUUUAAGUGAGAGAAUAAUGGUUGUUCUAUUUAUAUGAGUGAUAUGUUUUAUGGUCAUGCUCCGCUGGUAAAUGGUUUAUUCUUGAUGAAUCUCGAUCGUGAUGUUACACAUAUUCAUAGUGUGAGUACCAGAAAAUGUAAAGUUGAUAAUGAUAGUCCCACAUACUUGUGGCACUGCCGCCUUGGUCAUAUCAGCGUUAAGCGCAUGAAGAAGCUCCAUACAGAUGGACUAUUAGAGUCUCUUGACUUUGAAUCAUUUGACACAUGCGAACCGUGCCUCAUGGGCAAGAUGACUAAGACUCCAUUCUCAGGAAUAAUGGAGAGAGCAACCGACUUAUUGGAAAUAAUACAUACCGAUGUGUGUGGUCCAAUGAACGUUGAAGCUCGCGGUGGUUAUCGUUAUGUUCUCACUCUCACCGAUGAUUUGAGUAGGUAUGGGUAUAUCUACUUGAUGAAGCACAAAUCUGAGACGUUUGAAAAGUUCAAGGAAUUUCAGAGUGAGGUUGAGAAUCAACGUGACAGAAAAAUUAAAUGUCUACGAUCUGAUCGUGGAGGAGAAUAUUUGAGUCACGAGUUUGGCACACACCUAAGGAAGUGUGGAAUCGUUUCACAACUGACGCCNNNNNNNNNNNNNNNNNNNNNNNNNNNNNNNNNNNNNNNNNNNNNNNNNNNNNNNNNNNNNNNNNNNNNNNNNNNNNNNNNNNNNNNNNNNNNNNNNNNNCAUUGUGAUCUAUUUAUUCACACAUGUAUUACUGUUUCCUGUUAAUACAAUUAUAGCAUGAACAAUAGACGAUUAUCAUGAACAAGGAAAUAUGAUAAUAACCAUUUUAUUAUUGCCGCUAGGGCAUAUUUCCAACAGUCUCCCACUUGCACUAGAGUCGAUAAUCUAGUUACAUUGUGAUGUAUCGAACACCCAUAGCAUUAUGGUGUUGAUCAUGUUUCGCUCGUGGAAGAUGUUUAGUCAACGGGUCUGCAAUAUUCAGAUCCGUGUGUACUUUACAAAUAUCUAUCACUCCACUCUGGACAUGGUCCUGGAUGGAGUUGUAGCGGCAUUUGAUGUGCUUUGUCUUCCGGUGAAAUCUGGGUUCCUUGGCUAUGGCAAUGGCCCCAGUGUUAUCACAGAAGAGUGUCAUUGGACCCGACGCGCUUGGAACCACUCCAAGGUCGGUGAUGAGCUCCUUCAUCCAAAUUCCUUCAUGAGCUACUUUUGAAGAAGCUAUGUACUCCGCUUCACAUGUAGAUGCUGCCACGACUUCUUGCUUGCUACUGCACCAGCUCACCGCCCCACCAUUCAACACAUAUACGUAUCCGGUCUGUGACUUAGAGUCAUCCGGAUCUGUGUCGAAGCUAGCGUCGACGUAACCCUUUACGACGAGCUCUUCGUCACCUCCAUAAACGAGAAACAUUUCCUUAGUCCUUUUCAUGUACUUAAGGAUAUUCUUGACCGCUGUCCGGUGCUCCAUACCGGGAUCACUUUGGUACCUCCCUACCAAGCUUAUGGCAAGGUUUAUAUGAGGUUGGGUACACAGCAUGGCAUACAUUAGAGAGCCCACGGCUGAUGCGUAGGGGACAUAACUCAUCUUCUCUCUAUCUGCUGCCGUGGUCGGCGACUGAGUCUUAGUCAAUCUCAUAGCUUGCAAAACUGGCAAGAACCCUUUCUUUGAGUUUUCCAUAUUGAACUUCAAUAUCUUGUCAAGGUAUGUACUUUGCGAAAGACCUAUGAGGCAUCUCGAUCUAUCUCUAUAGAUCUUGAUGCCUAAUAUGUAUGCAGCUUCUCCAAGGUCCUUCAUUGAAAAACUCUUGUUCAAAUAGGCCUUUAUGCUCUCCAACAUCUCUAUAUUAUUCCCCAUCAAUAAUAUGUCAUCCACAUACAGUAUGAGGAAAGCUACAGAGUUCCCACUCACUUUCUUGUACAGUCAGGCUUCUCCGUAAACCUGUAUGAACCCAAACGCUUUAAUCACCUCAUUAAAGCGAAUGUUCCAACUCCGAGAUGCUUGCACCAGCCCAUAGAUGGAGCGCUGGAGCUUGCACACUUUGCUAGCACCCUUAGGGUNNNNNNNNNNNNNNNNNNNNNNNNNNNUUGCUAGCACCCUUAGGGUCGACAAAACCUUCUGGUUGCGUCAUAUACAACUCUUCCUUAAGGUUCCCGUUAAGGAACACUGUUUUGACGUCCAUUUGCCAAAUUUCAUAAUCAUAAAAGGUGACAAUUGCUAACAUGAUUCGGACUGAUUUCAGCUUCGCUACGGGAGAGAAAGUCUCUUCGUAGUCAACUCCUUGAAUUUGUCGAAAACCCUUUGCGACAAGUUGAGCUUUGUAAAUGGUUACAUUACCGUUUGCAUCAGUCUUCUUCUUGAAGAUCCAUUUACUUUCUAUGGCUCGCCGCUCAUUGGGCAAUUCCACCAAAGUCCAUACUUUGUUCUCACACAUGGAUCCUAUCUCGGAUUUCAUAGCCUCAAGCCAUUUGUUGGAAUCCGGGCCCGCCAUCGCUUCUUCAUAGUUCGAAGGUUCACCGUUGUCUAACAACAUGAUUUCCAUCACAGGGCUGCCGUACCACUCUGGUGCGGAGCGUGCCCUUGUGGACCUUCGCGGUUCAGUAGUAACUUGAUCCGAAGCUUCAUGAUCAUCAUCAUUAACUUCCUCUUCAGUUGGUGUAGGCGCCACAGGAACAACUUCCCGCGUUGAGCUACUAUCCUGUUCGAGAGGGGGUGUAAUUACCUCAUCAAGUUCUACCUUCCUCCCACUUACUUCUUUCGAGAGAAACUCUUUCUCUAGAAAGGAUCCGUUCUUGGCAACAAAGGUUUUACCUUCGGAUCUAAGNNNNNNNNNNNNNNNNNNNNNNNNNNNNNNNNNNNNNNNNNNNNNNNNNNNNNNNNNNNNNNNNNNNNNNNNNNNNNNNNNNNNNNNNNNNNNNNNNNNNGUGAUAGUGAUGAUGAUGAUGCAUUUAUUGAUGAUGAUUAUUAGUUUGUAAGAUUCACAACUUAAAUUAUAUAUAUUUUAAUCUUUAUUAUUCAUGUACAUAUUAUUAUUCAUGUCAGUUAUUCAAUUUUUUUAUGUUGUACUAAUUUCUUUUAAUCUUUAUCAUGGCAGGUCACCUGGUGUUGAAAGAUGGUGGGCGCUGGUCCAGAGCGCUCGACGGGUUCUUCCCAGCCGCCCCGCACGAGGGGUGGUACUUCCCUUCCACCCCUAUGUCUCCGUAGAGCCUUGGCAGACAGUCUGUCGACACCACCCGUGGGUUCUUCUUCGUCGGCGGCAUUGCCCACUGGGAGAGGUGCUCUUCGGGUAGGGAAGAAGGGGAAGGGUACAUGGAGAGGUGGUGGCCACGGAAGAUCCAGGAGGACUGUUGAGCCGUCCUCGCCACCACCACCAGCUCAUUCACCCGAGCAUACGACUACUAUGGUCGACCCGUUUGCGGAAGAGGCUACGGGGACUCCGGUCUAGGAGCGUGGUGUUGACGGGCAUUCGUCCCAUGAGACUCCGGUCCAGGAUCAGCCUCGGGUCGAGGUGCAUUCGUCCCACGAGACUACGUUUCCGGAGGCUUCACCCGACGUGGAGAGGCCCGGAUGGGAUACCUGGCCGGAUCGGACCGAGUUGCCGGAUUGGACCGAGGGUCCGAGUGGCUCAGGGGGCUGGGAUGGCGGGGAUGAGUUUACGGAUAGUGAGGGCGAUGUGCAGGUGGACGGGGCCACCGUGUACAAGAGUGGUAGUACACGUCUCCCGGUCGUGCCGGCUACCCGCGAGCAGAGGCCGGUGAUUAAACCUGAAGGAGAUAGGUAAGUACAUUUACUCUUUUUUAGCUUUUGCCUUCAAGUUUGUUCAAAUAUCUAAUGUGUUGACCUUAUCAUACUGCAGGGGAUGGGUACACCCUAUUGGAGUCCGCAGGCCGAACUCCGUCCUUGGUGUGCUUUGCCGGACAAAUUUCCCGGGGUUUGUCACGUUGCUUGGUGAGGGUCAGGUUCCUACACUAGGAUUUUCCUGGGAGCACUACCAGGCUGCGCAAGCCCCGCCGGAAGAGAUUAUAGAUGGUGUCUUGUGACACACGAGGGUCGAGAUGGUGAUCAAGAGCUUUUGGGUAAAUUAUCCUUUUACACAAUCUAAAAUUAACAAGAUAAGUAAUUAUUGUACUAAUCGGUGUUUUCACGUUUGAUUGCAGACCUUCUAUAGGUGUGAGGAUGGAUAUGAGGAGGAGGCGGCCAAGGUUCUCGAGGCCGAGUGUAGGCGGUUACUACAGAACUUAUGCCACGAGGCUCGGCCGCAGGCUAUUCGAGACUACUAUGCCACGCGUGGUAUUAAGAAGCAGAAGAAGGAUUGCCGCGGAAAGUUUCUGAAGAAGGAGCAAUACAUGAAGGUAAUUACCUAUUCUUAAGUCCUUAUACGUAGUUUUCUUGAUUUCAUUCAUAGGCGUAGCGCUCAAAAUUCUUUCUAAUAACUUACAGGUGCCCCCGAGAUGGUGUGCGGAUAAGAUGGAUUGUUGGGAGGCGUUGGUUGAUGAGUGGUGCACAGGCAGCUGGCGAGCCGUCCACGAGAAUGCGAAGGAUCGGCAUAGCCAAAUGGUUGGUGUGCCACACCAUCAAGGCAACGCCAACUUACUUCAGUUUGGACGAAACUGGGUAUGUGAUUUGCUUCAUGAUUCAUGCAAUUCGUUCUUCAUGCUAGUGUUUUGAUCCUCUCUUUUAGGCGCAUCACAAUAAUACGGAGAUGCCACACUUGUACGACCUUUAUGGCAUGGCCCAUACUGCCUCGUACAAGAAGGCGAAGGCAUUCUCUGAGUCUGACCUGGAUGAUCCCAAUAACUUCACCAACAUAUCAUCCCACCACAAGCUCGUGGCAUACAGGGACGCGGGGAAGGCUAUGAAAGGGGAUGACUUUAACCCUAGCCAGGAACCUUUGGAUCCAAAGCUGGUGAUGAUAUCUGGUGGCAGGAGGCCCCAUGGCUCGAUAGCCAUUGGAGCUGGGAUAAUACGUUGUCCACUCACUCUCCCGGAGAUCAAGGCGCGCCAGUCGAGCAGUUGUCCUGAGAUAACGCGUCGUCCACGGCCAGUCGAUCUUGCCAUCGAGGUUAGUUGUACGGACUAAGAACACUUUCAUCCAUUUCAUUAUGUGUGUCACCAUAGAUCAUUACUGUGGUAACUAGGAGUGGUGUUUCAGGCUGCUCUUCGGAAAGAGAGGUUGGCAAACUAGGCUGCUCUUGAGAAAGAGAGAUUGGCAAACCAGGCUGCUCUUGAGAAAGAGAGAUUGGCAAGCCAGGCUGCUCUUGAUGAGAGGGACCAGACCACGACACGAUUGAUUGAGGAGGAGAGGUCCCGAAAUGAGGCGGGUCAACGGGCCGUGUAUGAGCUUUUUGUGGUAAGUUUUUUUUCACAUUAGCCAAAUCAUGUGUGUAAUGUCUGUUUCAUUACUAACUAAUACGACCCACUCUUCACGGUCAGUGCGAGAUGAGCGGUCAAGUCCCUCCGUCGAUGCCCGUCUUCUCUUCGAUUAGCAUGGUGAGUUUUAUUAUAAACUAGUAUUAAUAAUUUAGUGUCAUCAUGCUAACUCAGACAUUGCAAAAUAUCUAUUCUGCAGAAUAACUCCCGAGCGGCAUCGCCCGACCCUUCUCCACGUAUUUCUCCUCCUUGAUGACCACUACGGUAAGUUUAUAUUCUCCUCUUUCAUAUAAUGACAUAGUUAGCUAAUUUAGCUCCAAGAAGAGGAGAAGAGGAGGAGGAGGAGAAGGAGGAGAAGGCCAAGGACCUUCUAGUCCUUCUCCUCGUCCUCCUCCUUCUCCUCCUUCUUCUUUAUUUCUUCUUCUCCUCCUCCUCCUCCUCUUUCUUCUCCUCUUUCAUAUUCUCCUUGCCUUAAUUUCCCCAACAAUGACAUAAUUAGCCCAUUUAGCUCCAAAAUGCCAUAAUAACCUCAAAAUGGCAUAAGAACCUUGGUUAGCUCAUUAAUAUUAUAUACUUAGCUUGUUUUCCUCUAAAAUGGGACAAUUAGCCCAUUUAGCUCCAAAAAUACAUAGUUAGCUAAUUUAGCUCCAAGAAGAGGAGAAGAGGAGAAGAAAUAGGAAAAAUGAAAAGAAAGAAGAAGAAGAAGAAGAGAAGAAGGAGAAGGAGGAGGAGGAGGAGGAGAAGAAGAAUAAAUAAAGAAGAAGGAGGAGAAGGCCAAGGACCUUCUAGUCCUUCUCCUCCUCCUCCUCCUUCUCCUCCUUCUUCUUUAUUUCUUAUUCUUCUUCUCCUCCUCCUCUUUAUUCUCGUCUUUCAUAUUAUCCUUGCCUUAAUUUCCCUAACAAUGACAUAAUUAGCCAAUUUAGCUCCAAAAAGACAUUAUAAGCUCAAAAUGGCAUAAGAACAUUGGUUAGCACAUUAAUAUUAUAUACUUAGCUUGUUUUCCUCUAUAAUGACAUAGUUAGCUAAUUUAGCUCCAAGAAGAGGAGAAGAGGAGAAAUGAAAAGGAAGAACAAAAAGAAGAAGAGAAAGAGAAGAGAAGGAGAAGGAGAAGAAGGAGGAGGAGAAGAAGGAGAAGGAGGAGGAGGAGGAGGAGGAGGNNNNNNNNNNNNNNNNNNNNNNNNNNNNNNNNNNNNNNNNNNNNNNNNNNNNNNNNNNNNNNNNNNNNNNNNNNNNNNNNNNNNNNNNNNNNNNNNNNNNGAGAAGGCCAAUGUGGCCGUCGAACGCUGCAAAGAGGUGGAAUCCCGCCUGAGCGCCCUCCAAGGGGAACAUGCCAAGCUAGUCGAGCAACGCCGCUCGAAGGAGGAGGAACUCAAGGCCUGUGAGGCCAAGCUUGCCGCCCGGGAGAGGGAGCUGUCCCGGGAGACGAACCGCCUGGGAGCAGAACAGGAGCUCUUGGUUGAGCGGGAGAAGGAUGCCACNNNNNNNNNNNNNNNNNNNNNNNNNNNNNGCGGGAGAAGGAUGCCACCACGAAGGAGGCUCUCCUUGAGGCCUGGGAGAAGGCCCUCGCCGCAGCCAAGGAAAAGAAGGCCUCCGAGCUGGCAUGCUUCCCCGACGUCGAGCUUGUGCUUCGCAAGGCGAUCCACUACCUCUGUCGGGGUGGGUUUGACGAGCCUCUGGCUACCCCGGAGGAAAGCAUUUCCAUGCUCGCGAAUGGGCUCGUCACAGCGCUGCGGGAUGCCGUCAUGCAGAUCGACAAGUCCUUGGCGAGUGAAUGCCACGACCUCUUCUUCGCGGUCGUGACUCGUGUCUUCAGCCACGUUCAUCUUCGCGACCCCGAAUUUGAUCUAAGCUUCGUGAUCAUGUGGUUCCUCCCAGGGCCCGCGACCGCGUCGUGGAGUCGGUGAAGGGUCUUGUGGAGGCGUUGGUGAGGAAGUUCGCCCGCGUCGUGCCCCCCUCGUCACCAGGUACCGCUAGAGGCGACGAUAGGGAAGACAAUGCCUCCGAUGUCGACGACCAGCCCCCUGUGGAGGGGGUGACCGACGGCGGCUCCUCUUGAUCUACUGCACUUGUUAUUUCUCUGCAAUGCACAUCGUGCCUCGUGGAGGCGUCAAACUUAUUUGUGUUUUUUAUGAACUGGGUCAUGGUCUGUAAUAAUUGAAUGCUCGAUUGUUUUCCUCGGCUUGUUCCUAUCAUUUUUUCCGUGUUUCUCUAUGUCGGCAAGGCCGGCCCUGCUCGUACCUUCCCGUGAUUGGACUGACCGGAAACCAAGGACAACCCAAAGGGGGAAGGGGCUAUGAGCGCAGUUAGGCUCCUGAGUCGCGAUGCUCAGGAAUCCCCCUUGACGCGCAAGCUCCUCUCAUGAGGAGGACGUGGUGAAGAUUCCGAAACUUAGAACAUUUUCAGCACUCUGUGUCGGGAGAGCCUGCCCCGCGCAUACCUCGCCGCGAUUGAACCAACCAGAAACCAAGGACGGCCCAAAGGGGGAGUGGCUAUGAGCGUAGUUAGGCCCGUGAGUCGUGAUGCUCAUGGGUGCCCCUUGACGUGCGAGCGACUCCGAUCCUCUUCGUAAGAAACCGAUGGUGUGAGACUCUCGAACUCCUUCAACACUCUGCAUCUGCAGGGCCCGCCCCACGCGUACCUCCCCGCAGUUGAGCCGACCUGAAAGGGGUGGCUAAAAAGGGAAAGGGGCUACGGGCACAGUUCAGGCUCCUGAGUCGCGAUGCUCAGGAGUCACACUUGACAUGCGAGUGACUCCAGCAUUCUUCCUAAGGGAUUUAAAGCGACUUGUUGAGCGCAUUGGGCUAUGUGUCCGCAGGGCCCGCCCCCUGCGUACCUUCCUGCGAUUGAACCGUCCAAGGACGGCCCAAAGAGCGAAGGGGCUACGAGCAUAGUUAGGCCGCUGAGUCGCGAUGCUCAGGGGUCCCCCUUGAUGUGCGAGCGGCUCCGUACCUUCAGUUGUUUGCCCACACGCUGGGUGUGGGCGGAGCUGUGGAUGUAUUGCGCUGAUCCCCUCGAUGGCCUUGGGUGUAGCCAUUGGCGGGCUGUGUUAAUGCCGGUUGAGGGCGUAGUCAUCGGCGGACUAUAUUGGUUGCCCAUGUAUGUACCCAGCGCGGAGCAUAGGUCUUCUACUAGGCAUAGGGUGGACCCCUCCGUGUCCUCGGGGGGCCCUGGGCGUAUAUAGCCUCGGCUCGUUAUUACGUUAGAGUGUCACGGUGGGGGUGUAUAUGGGAGGUCGCGAGAAAGAUAGGGCCUUGCAAGUGUCCCUACCCCGAGGCAUCGGGGCCUGAUCUUCUCCCCAGCGUGGAGCGUAGGUCUGCCACUCGGUAUAGGAUGGACCCCAACNNNNNNNNNNNNNNNNNNNNNNNNNNNNNNNNGACCCCAACGUGUCCUCGGGAGGCCUUGGGCGUAUACAGCCUCGGCUCGUUAUUACGUGAGAGAGUCACAGUGGGGUGUAUAUGGGAGGUCGUGAGGAUGCUAUGGCCUCGCGAGUGUCCCUACCCCCGAGUCAUUGGUGGACUGAAUUGACUUGGUUUGGGUCAUUGGCAAACCCUGCUCACUUCUUCUUUAGGAGAGGGGCUCCGCACCUGCACGAACAAACUUUGACCGGAGCCCCCAAGCGGGGGCCGAUCGCCCGACAAUAUAACCAAGGCGGAACGUUAGGAUGCCAAGCAGGUGCAAUUGAACAACCAAAUGAUGCAUAAACGAAAGUAGUAGCUGGGGAAAGUACAGAGCUCGGGGAGGCCGCAUGGCCCUGGGGUUACCUAUGGACUGGGCGAACCGAAAGGUUACCUGGCAGCGGCCAGCAAAAAGUUACCUAGCGGCCGAGCUGCUGAAGUGCCGGAGGCUCUGUUGUCGCUUGAUUUCCUGGAUCCGCAGUCGCGACCCUCACGGGUCCAUCGCCCCCCGAUCUAGGGGCCUUCGCUUGGCCCGAGCAUCUUCUCCUCCUCCUCGUGGCGCCCAAGCACGCAAGGGAGGAGAAUGGCCUGCUGGAGCCUCUGGUACGUGGCAGCCGCGUUCCUCAGCCCGGAGAGCAUGAAGGCUUCAGUGCUCGGGUACUCCCACCAGUAGCCAGUCUGCGUAGGACAGAAGGGGUCGUGCGCCAUGGCUGCGUUGGUUGCAGACGCGUUAAUGCAGAUGCGGGGCCGGUCAACUGUGCAGACAGCGGCGACUGCGAUGGGUGGUGCGGGGCAGUUACCGUGUCGCAUGGUCUGGGCCUCGAGAAGUUCUCGGAUUUCUUUGAUGACGGACUCGCGAGAUCUGGUCGAACGUGCUCCGGAGUGCGCCCUCGGGAUGUGCUCAGACACCGCCUCUGUCUCACUGAUCAGGCUAGGGGCCUCCCCGGUGGGAGCCCCCUAGCCCUGAUCUAAGAGGGACGCCGAGCGCACAUCCCUAUGCGAUGGGGGGCAGGGAUCCGUCCCCGAGCAUCGAACACAAAGCCCCGAGGCACUCCGCAGGGAGGAACUCCUUCUUGAGCGGGGCUUCGUGAGGCAGCUCGUCAUCUUCAUCAUUUGAGCGUUCUGACGUUGCCGCACGGUACGCUCUCUCCAGUGCGUAGACAUCAUCCUUCUCAUGACAGGGUAUGGUGAUGUCACCACCGCUUCCCGGCAUCUUGAGGACAUUCUAUCCAUGGUGGACCACGACCAUGAACUUGGCAAGCACUGGUUACCCGAGGAUGGCAUUGUAUGGCAGAUGGAUGUGCGCGACGUCGAAGAGGAUGACCUUGGUGUGAUAGUUGUGGCGCUCGCCAAAGGUGACGGGCAGGUGCACUUGCCCAAUGGGUACGGUGGAUCCCUUUGUUACCCCUGAGAAGGGCUUGGUCGGCAUGAGUUGCUCAUACGGCAGCUGGAGCUUCUCGAAGGUCUCGACUGAGAGGAUGUUGAGCCCAGCUCCACUCUCAAUGAGAGUCUUGGUGACGAGGACGUUGCUGAUAGUUGGGGUGCACAUCAUUGGGAGCUUGCCAGCCAGGAACGAGCACCUGAGCUGGUCGCUUGGGUCGAAAGCAAUGGUGGUCUGGGACUAGUUGAGGGGACGUAUCGCUUCAGGCCUCGGGAGGGCGACAUUCACCUCCUGGGACAACUGCAUGAAGGCGUGGUUGGAUGCUGGGGUCUGGGCACCACCCAGGAUGGAAGCUAGUGCCCUGGCAUUCUGGAAGCCCCCAGCCCUGUCGUCUUGCUUGUCUUCGUUCCUCCUCCUGGGCUGCAGGGGCAGCGAGGGCAGCCUGGUCUCUCGAGGGCGAGCCUCACGAGGUUGGCCGCUUCGCUGGCCCUCCUGAGGAUUAUCACGCCAGCGGUCCUCCUGAGGUUGGCCAUGCCAGGGGUCCUCCUGAGGCUUCUCAUGCCACCCCUGACGUGGCUCACGAUCAUCCCAGCGGACCCCAUUGCGGCCUCCUCCAUGCAGGGUUUCUGUAGAACUGUCCGGGAUCCUGUUGAAGUGUUUGGCAUGAACCAAACGUAGUUCUUGACAUUCAGAGGUGUCAUGGCCGAUGGUGCAAUGGAAGAUGCACGUCGGCCCUCCUCCAGAGGGGCGCUCUCCCCCCUCGAGUAUGCUUCGUUUCAGGCUCGGCGGCUAGUACCGCUGGGGCCUUGCGCUUCAGCUCCUUGGCUUUGGCCUUCUUCUCUUCUGGGUCCGCCGCCUGGGGCCCAAGGAGCGAUAGGCGUCCUUCUUCCGCCUUGGCGCACUUGCUUGCCAAGUUGAACAUCUCCAAUGCGGUGCUCAUUUCAUCGUUCAUGGCAAGCUCUUCCUUCAUCUUGAGGUCGGUGACUCCGUUGGAUAAAGACGAUACGACAGCCUCAUCCGACGCCUUAGGGAUCAUGAGGCGCAUGACAGUCAAACAUUGUAUGAACUUGUGCAGGUUAUCCACCUCUUGCUGCUUGACGCGCCGCAGGUCGAUCACGGUGGGAGCGCGGUCGCGGGUGCCCUGGAAGUUGGCGAUGAAGCGCUCACGCAAGCCGUCCCAGGAGGUAAUGGACGCCUUUGGGAGGUUGAGGAGCCAUGAAAGCGCGCCACCCUUGAGCGCCAUCGGGAACCAACAUGCCAUGAUCUUGUCGCCACCUCCUGCCGCCUUGAUGCUCAGUGUGUAGAGUUGCAGGAACUCUGUCGGGUCUUGGUUUCCGUCGUAACAUGGGGGCAGGUCGGGCUUGAACUUGCAGGGCCAUGUGCCGGGGUAGAUAUCGGGGGCGAUGGUGAAGCACCCCACCGGUCCAACAAGCACAGUACGCGCGGGGGCUGCCUGGUCUUGUUGUUCCUCAGGGUCUGCCUCGAGCAGAGCACGCUCCGGGCGCGAGAUCUACAACGCCAGGGGAGCGCACGCGUUGGCGCGGGGCCUGGGGAUCAUCUGGCAGCUUGCUUCAUCCCCGGGCCUCGCCCUGGGUUCACGCGGCCGAGCACGGAGUCGUGCUUCCUGCCCGGGCUCGGGGUCCGCGACAUGCCGCGGAGGCGAGUAUGGCGCGUCUUGCUCCUCGUUGUUCGUCAGGGACGGCUAGGGCCGGAGCAAGCAGGAGAGUGCCGCUGAGUCACCAGCGGCGGCGAUGAGUUCCUCGAUGCGAUGGAUCGAGUUGUCAUGGCGGUCUAGAGCUGGUCGGUAAGGGAGAAGCUCGGUGGUCAUGGCAAGCGGGCGGCGGCCAUGGGGCCUCCCUAGCCGAGCGCGGGAUGCCGACGCCGAAGGCCUGACGAGCGACGGCGUGGCGGUGCAGCUGUCGACAUGCUCAGUCGGAGGUUGGGAGCAGCCCUGUUGCUCUAGAGCUUCGGGGCUGGUAGCAGCAUUCACCACGGGUGACGGUGACCGACACGCACCGGCAGCACCGACGGGUGCGGUCCGGGCGAUGCGGGUGGCGCGAUGUUCCGCACGUACCCGGUGUGUAUCAGCCAUCAGAGCCAUGGAGUUUGGUGAGGACGGAGCUUGGAGUAAACCUCGACACGCCCCUACCUGGCACGCCAAAUGUUGGAUUUCGGGCUCUGCAAAACCCUAAGGACUCAAACACUGGCGCGUGUACAAAGAUCUCCCCUUCUUCGCCUCGCCUGUCUCACUACUCGAUGGAAACAAUGAAGGACUCACUAGAAGGUGAGGAGAACACAGAACCCAGCAACUUACCCAGGUUCGAGCCGCUAUGAAGCGUAAAACCCUAAUACUGCUUUGGAGGAUUGCCUCUCUUCAAGGUUGAGGAACGAGAUGGUACAUGGCUUUUGCGCCUCCGGAGGCCAAGUGGCUAAGCGUGCUGCACUAGGGUUUCGAUCCCCUCUCUCAAGUAUCUGUUGGGCAAGGUUGCAUGGGAAACAAAAAAAUUCCUACGCACACGAAGACCUAUCAUGGUGAUGUUCAUCUACGAGAGGGAGGUCAUAUCCACAUACCCUUGUAGAUCGCUAAGCACGAAGUGUUAAGAAAUGUAGUUGAUGUAGUGGAACAGCUUUGUGAUUCAAAUCACCAUUGUCCCACGAUCCGUCCCGAUCUAGUACCGAACGGACCACACCUCUGCGUUCAGCGCACGUACAGCUCGAUGACGAUCUCUGCCUUCUUGAUCCAGCAAGAGAGACGGGGAUGUAGAUGAGUUCUCCGGCAGCGUGAUGGCGUGCUGGUGAUGGUGAUGAUCUAUUCCUACAGGGCUCCGCCCGACCUCCGCAAAAAACCGAUCUAGAGGAAGAACUACGAAGUAGAGGUUUAGGGUUUCAUGUGGCAAAGUUUUUUCUCAAGAACACUAAAAUCUCUAGUAUAUAUAGUAGGAGGGGAGGGGCUAGCCUUGGGGAUCAAGAGAGCCCCUAGGGCGUCGGCCGAGUGGAGGAGGAGGGACUCCCACUCCAAUUCGGUUUGGGAAGGAGGAGUCCCUUCCUUCCUUCCCACCUCCCUCUUUUUUUUCUCCUUUGAUUUUUCCUCUUGGACGAAAUAGCCCUAUUAGGCUGGCCUCACCAGCCCACCAAGGGCUGGUGCGCCACCCAUGGCCUAUUAGGUUCUCUCCCGGGUGGGUGGCCCCCUCCCGGUAAAAACCCGGAACCCAUUCAUCACUCCCGGUACACUGCCGGUAAUGCCCGAAAUCUUUCCGGAAGCCAAAUGAAACAAUCCUAUAUAUCAAUCUUCGUUUCCGGACCAUUUCGGAAACUCACUUGAUGUCUGUCAUCUCAUCCGGGAGUCCCAACAAACCUUCGGUCGCCAACACCUAUAACUCAACUAUACUGAAACGUCACCGAACCUUAAGUAUGCAGACCCUGCGGGUUCGAGAACAAUGCAGACAUGACCUGAGACACUCCCUGAUCAAUAUCCAAUGGAGGGACCUGGAUGUCCAUAUUGGAUCCUACAUAUUCUACAAAGAUCUUAUCAGUUGAACCUCUGUGCCAAGGAUUCAUAUAAUCCCGUAUACCAUUCCCUUUGUCCUUCGGUAUGUUACUUUCCCGAGAUUCGAUCGUCGGUAUCCCUAUACCUAUUUAAAUCUCGUUACCGGCAAGUCUCUUUACUCGUUCUGUAAUACAAGAUCCUGUGACAAACACUUUAGUCACAUUUCUUGCAAGGCUUAUAUGUGAUGUUGUAUUACCGAGUGGGCCCCGAGAUACCUCUCCGUCACANNNNNNNNNNNNNNNNNNNNNNNNNNNNNNNNNNNNNNNNNNNNNNNNNNNNNNNNNNNNNNNNNNNNNNNNNNNNNNNNNNNNNNNNNNNNNNNNNNNNAGCAUGUUUUCUCGAGCCAUGUUGGUACAUGAACAUGGACAUACACAUAUUCUUAGGAACAAAUAAGAAAGAUAAAUGGAGAAGGAAAACCCAAAGCAAUGUCAGAGUUGACAAAACUGCAAUGGCACUUUAUAUGUGGCCCAUCGUCAGUGAGCUGUUUAUGCCUUGCCGGACUCCUCGCAGCCUGGUGGCUUGAAGGCGAUGAAGCUGACGCACUGCACCUGACGCAUGUUGUCGAAUCCGAUGAUGCGGACAUACGCGUCAGGGUACUCCUUCUUGACCUCCUCCACCUCGUUGAGCACCUGUGUGGCGUCGGUGCAUCCGAACAUAGGCAGCUUCCACAUUGUCCAGUACCGGCCAUCGUAGUACCCAGGAGAUGCGUUGUGCUCACGGAAGAUGAACCCAACCUUGCUGAACUCGAGGCAAGGCACCCACUUGGAGCGGAUCAGGUAGUCGACCUGCUUAAGGAGGGCCUCCGUGCUGAGUGGUGGCAAGUAAGACAGGGUCUCGAACUUCUUGAUGCCCUCGAUGGGCCACACCUGCAAAUCAGAUUCACGUCUAUACAUUAAGAGACUAUAACUCUAGUUCUACACGUUUGAUUGUUCUUCUUGACAUCCGUCGGCUUAAAAAUGACUAGAAAGACAGAGACGAUGUUGUUUACCUGCAUGCACCUGAUCCUUCCACCGUUGCUGACGCUGCCGAGGCUAGCACCGUUCGAGCGGCGGCUGACGGGGAGGCCGGCGGUGGACUUGAGCCCCUGGAAAGGAGCGACGGAGGUGGCCGACGAGGCCAUCACGGUGGGGGCCAUAGCUGUACUAUGUAGGUAUAUAGCUUGCUAGAGGGAGGCACACUGGCUUGAGGACUG